CUCCGGAAUCUUGCUAUUUAGGAGUAUUAAACGUAGAUUACUGACAAAACCCAUUCCAUAACCCCUAGGCUAUUUUGCGAGAUGAAUCUAACGAGGUAUAUUAAUACAUGAUUUGCUACAGUGAUGCUACAGUAAUCAUCCGCUAAUCAUGGAUUAAUAUACAUCAUUAGAUUCGUCUCGCAAAAUAGCCUAGAAGUCAUGGAAUCGAUUUUGUCGAUAAUCUACGUUUAAUACUUCUAAAUAGCAAAAUUCUAUAGGGCUAUUUAAUAGCCCGGAGGAUCCAAACAAGGCCAAUUUUAAUCUGGUUUGCAACAAUUGCAUCGUGUCCUUUUGUUUUAAAAAAAUGUUGCGGCAAAGUCAAACUGAACAAAUUAAUAGUACAGAACAGAGGACGCCUAUCUAUCUAGCCCACACAAUUAAUUACAAAGUAUAUACUACUCGUAAGCACACGGAGUAUUAGUAUUAUGCAGGGGAGGUAAGUAGUUCCUUUGCUAGGAGACACAUCUGCUUACUCUGUACUCUCUUUUCACAUGAGCGAAAACCUUGUCUGUUUUUUUUUUUUUUGAACGGAAAAAACAGCACAGCAGUGCUUUUUCAUUGAAUAUAGAAGAAGAAAAUACAACCCCUAGGGGUAAAACAAAAAGAUCUUUAGACUAUACACUAUACAGAGUGCGGGAUGAGAUCGCGCAAUCUUUUAGCCCCAGCUAAAGCCCACAAGCUGGCCUCCUCUUUGAUUUUUGCUAGGAGAACACCUGUUGCCAUCUCUUUGUGAUCAAAGAUUCGCCGGUUUCGCUCCUUCCAAAUUUCCCAAACUACUAGCAGGAUAAGGGACCGAAGGCCCUUCUUUGGAAUGCCGGGUGUAUUAGCUAGGCUCUCCCACCACUGAUGGACUGACCGGGCUUCCUCCCAUUGGGCCGGUUCGAACUGCUGAUAUCCCGCCCAUGUAGCAACGAGGCGCCAGAUUCUCUUCGUGUAUCUACACAUGGCGACGAGGUGCAAGGCUGUCUCGGUGUCACAACGACAUAGGGGGCAAUGUCCGUUAUUCCGCCAACCCCUUGUCGCGAGUCGGUCCGACGUCCAGACUCUAUUUUGAAUGAUGAGCCAGGCAUGAAAUUUACAUUUCCCUGGCGCCCAAACUUUCCAGAUUAGGGAGUUGAAGUUUGUGUUUGGCGCCCCCAAACAUUGGGCAUGAUAAGCCGAGGAAGCUGUAUAGUGGCCGCUGCUUGUGAAUUUCCAAACAAUCUGAUCCGGCUCCUCGCUGUCUAAGUGCACAUUCCGUACCGCCUCCCACAGGCGGACUAGCUGAUCGAGAAGGUUGAUUGUGAUAGAUGAACCCGCAUCGAGGGUCAGGUCAUGCACCCAGGAGUCGUCUUCUUUCCCUUGCCGUAGGGAUUUCUUCCUAUUUUUGGAGAUCUCAUAGACCAACGGCAUUAGGUCUUUUGGUCUUUGGCCGUUAAUCCAUGCGGAGUCCCAGAAGCGCGUCGUAUUUCCAUCGCCCACAGUUAUCUUUGUUGAGGCGGCGAAGAGGUCCCUAUCCACACCAUCACAAGGCGUUUCCAAACCCACCCAAGGCUUGCUUGGAUCUCUCCAUUCGUUCCACAACCAUCGCAAUCUCAGCGCUCUUGUGAACUUGUCCAAGCUUAGGACACCAAGGCCCCCCUGGCUGGUCGGCAAGCAUGUCUUUGCCCAGUUGACCUUGCAUUUCCCCCCGGUGAUAUCCCCCUGACGGAGCUCGUGGCUCCUCACCGGGAGACCGCGCAGGCCCCCCUUUGCCAGUUCGGCCGGGGGCUUAGGGUGAAAUCUCAAGCUCUCGCUCUCUCUGUAUGUGGAAAUAUCGUAUGCCAGCCAGAAAACACGAGACACCGACGAUCUAUACAGGUUCGGGCCGCUGAGAAGCGUAAUACCCUACUCCUGUGUUUUGGUGGAUCUGUGUAUGAGUGAGCUACAAAUGUCAGCUGACUUCUCCCCCGUUCUAAGCUCAUAAUCUGGGAAAGAAUCAACCAACCCCCUUUCUAUGGGCAAGGUCCUCCUUUUAUACUUCAAGGGGAUACCACAUGCACCCUUCUCUUUCCAAACUGGACUGUUCUUUUUCUCUUGAAUGGGCGGAGAUCAGCACGGUUGCUGUCCGAAUGACGCUCCGAUGGGACAGCCCACACCUACCUCCACUUCCGCCGGGGGUGAGCGCAUCGUGGGAACAUGGCUGUGCGCUGACGAUAUGGUCAGUGUCAGACCGGUCACAAAUCGGUCAUUCUUGUCCACCGCGUGUAAUCUUGGCAACGUGCAUGUUUGCCCUUCUUCACACAACAUCUUGCUUGUAAUGGUUAGGAUGAAGCCUGGCAUAUAUCGAUCGGGGCUAACGUGUCAUCUCUAAGAGAUAACACGCUUAACUCCGGCUUGAGACGAGUGCCUAGGGGCUUUCGUCUUGACGGGAUGGGGCAAGGCGUGCGCCAGACCGCCAGUCGCCACCUAACCCGUGAUCUGACCGGUCUGUGACUGGUCACAGACCGGAUAAAGGAACGCGCCGUACUGCACUGCGUACAGCGUGACACGCCUGACCAGACUGCAUUAAAUGCUGUUAGGUGAGCACAGCUGUGCUCACUUAUCCCAUAUAUGUGGCGCAGACUUCCUAAAGGGGGUCGGGGUGCCUCGGCCCUCGGGGCCGGGGCAAGCGCAACCCGACCCCCCCCCCCCCUCGGGGGAAAUCAGGAGGAGGGCGGACACCUCACCCUCGGGCCCGACGUCCCCGAAGGUGCCAGGCCACGUGGGCGAUUGCGUCUGCCUCAAGCCUCUGGUCAUGAUACUCCCGGUCCCAUAUCACCGACAGUAGCCCCCGGCGUUAUGCCAGAGCAAUUUCCCUUCCCAAGGGAAGCGGUCAGGUGUGACGCCACCCCUAAAGCCUGGUGACAGGUGGGACCGGUCUCCGUAGUUGGGCAAAAUACCCAACGGUCUCAAUCCAUGCACAUUGGUAAUGGUGACUUGGCUGUCCAUAAUGGGCGGUCUCUUCAAGACUGCCACAUUACCUGAGCAGCGCACGAAUCUGGGCGAGCCGAUUUGCUUCGCCUGGAGAUAUGGUGAUGGUGCUUUUCUCGGAGCCAUCAGAAUAGCGUAUAGCAUCUUCUGGGCCCGAGGGUAUCGGGUUUUGGCGUCCCGGAGGGCCUCACUAACAAAGUAGACGGGCCGCUGCACCUUUCGGCGGGGCCGAUCCUCUUCGCUAGGGGCCGCAUCUCCAGGGCGCUCUUCAUCCGAGAGGCAGCGCGGGGCGCCCUCGGCUUCUGCGCCGAUAUCCUCGGGGUAAGAGGGCGACAGGCGCGGCCUUCCCACAGUGGCCCCGAGGCUAUCCUGAGGGUCGGGGGCGCCUGACACCGUCGGACAAGCAGGCGGAGGGCCAACUCCGGCCGUCGGGGGCCUUGGGCCGCCGUUCGGCUUGGGGGCCUCUCGGACCCUGACUUCUCCCCGUGGGCAGCGCUGGAAGAGUUCCCUUUCGGAACCGAGGACGGCGCACGCGCGCAGGUCCGGGACGCCGCCGACCACAUCGUUCACAGCUUCGAGGGUACGGCCCCUCGGCUCGCGUUCGCCCUCGACUCCGACGAGGAGGGCGGCGACGGUGGUGCGGACGAUAACGACGACAAGGCUGGUGACCCGGGCGCGUCGGAGUGAGCCCCCAGGCCCCCGCCAAUCUUGAAUAGCUUUUUCUUUCUUCUUCCGAGGCCUUCGGGCCCCCUUCUUGUAUAGACUAAUUUAAUCUGCAACCAAAUAAAGAGGAAAUUUCUAUGUCACUUCUAUUUGUUGUGUGUAUGAGACGAGGAUGGUCUGUGCCGCGGUCCUUCUGUGUCUUGGCUUGAUCAAGGGCUCGUGCCCAGGUCCUAGUCCUCAAAUGGCUCGGGUCGGGGCUAGUGCCUGGGGAGAUCCACAUGUCGAGACUGGCCAGGCCGGGAACGUGGUGACCGAGGGUUAUGGGUGACCCGAUUGUGGGUUUUUGCCGAUUCCCCCCCGGAGUUCACCACGCCCCGGAGCACGGCUCGGUUCUGGGCCCCGUUUGGCGAUUUUAGCUGACCGAACCGAGCCCCCGAGGGCAAGGUUGAGCACGAGUGACCUAUUUCAAGUCAAGAUUCUUCAAAAAGGAAACAAAAGCACAGACACAGCCUUUAGGAAAUCGAAAAUGCUUUUGUUGAAAUACGGAAGAGAAAAAAGAUAAGCCCCCGGCCAACCCUGCACGCCCGGGGGGGUGCGGGGUUGGCCCGAGCCCGAAACCUGACACCCGACCCCCACUAGGGGUAGAAGCGACGAAGGUGUUUGAUGUUCCACGGGUGAGGCAGCUCUGUGCCGUCGCCCGUGGCCAGCCGAACGGAGCCCGGCCGGGGGACGCCGAUCACUCGAUACGGACCCUCCCACAUUGGUGAGAGUUUGCUCAGUCCAGCACGCGUUUGGACGCGGCGUAGGACGAGGUCGUCGACGCAGAGUGAUCGGGCCCGGACGUGGCGCUGAUGGUAGCGCCGCAGGCUCUGCUGGUAGCGCGCGGCUCGGAGGGCCGCGCGCCGCCUUCGCUCUUCCAAGUAGUCGAGGUCAAGGAGCGCCGGCCUUCUUUCUGUCGCUCGCAGACCUCCCCUUUCGGGUGGCCAGCGAAACGCCCUCGACGGCGAGGACAUGACCCUCGUCGUCGGAAUGGGCCGACCUCUUCUUCCUCCUCCUGUCCCGCCGCCCUGUCUGAGCAGCGGAUCCGGGGGCGGCCGAAGCUGCCACUCCGGGACCGGAGGGGUUCCAGGUCCAUGCCUCCUCCUUACGAGCCACUCGAUCCGCAAGCUGAAAAAGCUCCGCGGUAGUCUGGGGCUCUUUGGAGGCAAUCUUUUCGAGCAUGCGGUUGUGCCGCACACCCCCCCUGAACGCGUAGAUCACCGCGUGUGCAGGGAUGCAUGGUAUAGUAUUGCGGACUUGGCAAAACCGCUGAAUGUACGAGCGAAGCGACUCAUCAUCGCCUCGCUGUACUGCAUGCAAGUCCGCUUCUUCGCCUGGGCGCGGAUAUGUGCCUUGGAAGUUCAUGGUGAACUGUUGGCACAAAUCUUCCCAGGAGUGGACCGACGCGGGUGGCAGGUUCAUUAGCCAACCCCGCGCCUGUCCUUUUAGGGCCAUGGGAAAGAAAUUCGCCAUGACCCUGUCGUCACCCCCAGCGGCCUCGAUCCCGGUCGUAUAGACCUGGAGAAACUCGGUGGGGUUGACGCUCCCAUCGUACUUCUCAGUGAUGGUGGGCCGGAACCUUGGGGGCCAACGGACAUUCCGAAGACUCGCCACAAAGGCUCUACAGCCAACACCACCAGCCGGGGGCACGGAGGGCUGGUCCUCACGUCCAUGUCGAGGUGACACUCUGGACGAGGAGGCACCCUCCGUUGCACGGGGGGUACGCCGGCUAUUACGCCGGCGCUCGAUGUUGAGGCGGGCAUCCGGCUCCCCAUGCUGAUCCUUCCGAGUCGAAGGUGUCGACGAGGGAGUAGCAGCCGAAUGACGUGCAGCCGCCGCCGCUCGCCGCGCCCUCCGCCUUGACGACACGGAGCCGGUGGUAGCGGCGCCGGAGGUCUUGGUGGUGGCGGACCGUCCACCAGCACCCAAGCGCUGCUGAGCCGUCAUGACCAAGUUGGCCACGUCUCCCAGCCAUCGUUGGGCUGGAGACUCCGGGUCAUGGACGACAGGCGGGUGUCGUAGGAGCGCGCCAGCAGCCUGAAGCGCGCCCUGAGGCGUGCUGCCGUCGCCGUAGACGAGGAGGCGACGCUCCCCAUCUCGCCGUUCUCCUGCAUCACCUGCGAAUGGUGAUGCCACGGAUUUGUCGACCCUCCCAAGCGCCUCCCCCUGCUUAGGGCUUUGGCGCGGAGGAGGUGGGGGAGUACGAGCUCGACGGCGUGGAUUUGGUUCCCCGUCGUCGCCGCUCACACUCGGAGAGAGAUCGUGCGCCUUUGCUUGCUCGGCCAUUAGGCAGAACAAGGGAAACUUGGCGCACACGGAAGAGUAUGAGAGCUCAGAAAACACACGCUGAGCCCCCUACCUGGCGCGCCAGAUGACGGAGCUCGUGGCUCCUCACCGGGAGACCGCGCAGGCCCCCCUUUGCCAGUUCGGCCGGGGGCUUAGGGUGAAAUCUCAAGCUCUCGCUCUCUCUGUAUGUGGAAAUAUCGUAUGCCAGCCAGAAAACACGAGACACCGACGAUCUAUACAGGUUCGGGCCGCUGAGAAGCGUAAUACCCUACUCCUGUGUUUUGGUGGAUCUGUGUAUGAGUGAGCUACAAAUGUCAGCUGACUUCUCCCCCGUUCUAAGCUCAUAAUCUGGGAAAGAAUCAACCAACCCCCUUUCUAUGGGCAAGGUCCUCCUUUUAUACUUCAAGGGGAUACCACAUGCACCCUUCUCUUUCCAAACUGGACUGUUCUUUUUCUCUUGAAUGGGCGGAGAUCAGCACGGUUGCUGUCCGAAUGACGCUCCGAUGGGACAGCCCACACCUACCUCCACUUCCGCCGGGGGUGAGCGCAUCGUGGGAACAUGGCUGUGCGCUGACGAUAUGGUCAGUGUCAGACCGGUCACAAAUCGGUCAUUCUUGUCCACCGCGUGUAAUCUUGGCAACGUGCAUGUUUGCCCUUCUUCACACAACAUCUUGCUUGUAAUGGUUAGGAUGAAGCCUGGCAUAUAUCGAUCGGGGCUAACGUGUCAUCUCUAAGAGAUAACACGCUUAACUCCGGCUUGAGACGAGUGCCUAGGGGCUUUCGUCUUGACGGGAUGGGGCAAGGCGUGCGCCAGACCGCCAGUCGCCACCUAACCCGUGAUCUGACCGGUCUGUGACUGGUCACAGACCGGAUAAAGGAACGCGCCGUACUGCACUGCGUACAGCGUGACACGCCUGACCAGACUGCAUUAAAUGCUGUUAGGUGAGCACAGCUGUGCUCACUUAUCCCAUAUAUGUGGCGCAGACUUCCUAAAGGGGGUCGGGGUGCCUCGGCCCUCGGGGCCGGGGCAAGCGCAACCCGACCCCCCCCCCCCUCGGGGGAAAUCAGGAGGAGGGCGGACACCUCACCCUCGGGCCCGACGUCCCCGAAGGUGCCAGGCCACGUGGGCGAUUGCGUCUGCCUCAAGCCUCUGGUCAUGAUACUCCCGGUCCCAUAUCACCGACACCCCCGUACCAGCCCAAAGGAAGCGACGUCUCUGCUUGUCAAGCUGCUCCAGGGAUUCCUUCGUCACCUUCAAGGCAGUGAGGAGAUAAAUUGGCUGUGCUGAAAGCACAGACUUUACAAGCGUGGUUCUCCCGGCUGCUGCCAUGUUUUUCCCCCUCCAACUUGCAACUCUCCCUGAUAUUUUGUCAAAGACCGGUUGCAAGUCCGUUUUUCGCAGCCUUCCCAGAGCAAGCGGGAGGCCCAAGUAUUUUAGUGGGAAAUUUGCCCGCUUCGCCGGAACGCCUUGGAGGACCUCUUCCAGGUCUAUAUUGCCGCAUCUUAUGGCCGCAACCUGGGAUUUCUGAAGGUUGGUGACGAGUCCUGUGGCUGUGCCAAAACGAUGUAGGAUGUUCGCGAAAGUCGCAACAUCGUUCUGGGUGGGAUUAAUGAAGAUCACAGCAUCAUCCGCAUACAUUGAGAUCUGCAUCCGAGUUGUUCUUCCUCGUAAUUUUGAAAUUGCACCCAGCUCUGUUGCCUUGGAAAGGAUACGCUGUAGAGGAUCAAUCGCCAGAAUGAAGAGAAGCGGCGAGAGGGGGUCCCCUUGUCGUAGUCCUCUUCCAUGUUUGAUCCGUUGCCCUGGCGAGCCAUUAAGGAGGACUUGGGAUGUCGAAGACGACAGUAAAGCCCCUAGCCAGUCUAUCCAUCUUGUCGGGAAGCCCUUGCGCUGCAGCAAGGCCAGGAGGUAAUCCCAUCGCACGGAGUCGAAGGCUUUUGUUAUAUCCAACUUGAAGAGCAACAUUGCCCGUCUUAGGCGGUGGUAUCUUCUGGUCAUGUUUCUUACGAAGAGGUAGUUGUCAUGAAUACUUCUCCCCUUUAUGAAAGCGCUUUGAUUGACCGAGAUCAACUCAUGCAUGUGGGGCCUUAACCGCAGCGCUAGCAUCUUAGCGAAGAUCUUGGCGAUGCUAUGAAUUAGACUAAUUGGCCUAUAGUCCGAAACGCUUUCAGCCCCAUCCUUUUUUGGGAUUAGGACGAUGUUUGCUGAGUUGAGCAAAUUCAGGUGCGCACAUCUCAGGUUAUAGAUGGAGCUGAAGACUAGCAGAAUGUCAUCCUUGAUGAUUUCCCAGCAAACUUUGAAGAAGGCCCCAGUGAAGCCGUCUGGUCCCGGUGCUUUGUCGGCUGGCAUUUCCUUAAUUGCCCUAUGCACUUCCUCCUCAGUGAAGGGUUCCCCCAGCGUGGCUAGAUCAAUCAGUGUGAUGUCCAACGUCUCCCAGUUUAGCUCGUUUGGCCUCGGCCCCGGCCUCCCCAUGAAGCUUGCGAAGUGAUCAUGGAUCGUCGAUUCCUUUUCACCGUGCGUCACCGCCCAACCACUGUCCUUUUUCAAUCUUUGGAUUGUAUUCCUUCUCCUUCGCGCAUUAACCUUGAGGUGGAAGAACUUCGUGUUCGCAUCUCCUUCACGGAUGUGAGUUACCCUGGAGGCUUGCUUUUUCCUUGCCCUUUCUAUAGAAGCGAGUCGUAGGACUUUCCGCUUGAGAGCCGCCCUCAGUCGCGUUUCCGGGGGGGAGAGUUCUCUGUGCUCUUGUGCCACGUCGAGUCUUUGGAUGACAUUGAGUGCCAUAUGGAAUUGCAAUUUAGCCUCUGAGCAGAUGCCUUUUGUCCAAUCUCUAAGGCCGACCGCCGUACGUUGCAGCUUUUGAUUCAGGCGGUGCAUAGGCUCAGUGUGCGAAGAAGGUUGGCUCCAGAUAUCCUUGACUUUGUCCUUGAACCCCGGGACCCGUGUCCAAAAGUUUUCAAACUUGAAGGUCCUUGGACGAUGUGGGCCUUGCGGGUUGGACAGUACAAGAGGGCAAUGGUCGGAUGGCCCUGUAGGAAGGGCAUGGAGAACAUGGUGGGGGAAAGCAAGAUCCCAUUCCUCAUUGCAAAAGCAACGGUCAAGCUUGACAAGGGUUGCCUUUCGACGCUCAUUACUCCAAGUGAACUUCCUGUUUUGCAGGGGGAUCUCAUGCAGCUCACAUCGAUCAAUGACUGCGCGAAAACGUCUCAUGCGUGCGAGGUUGAGGUUGCUAUUGUUUUUGUCCCGAGCACGGUAGAUCAUGUUGAAGUCUCCAAGGAUGAGCCAUCCUUCCCCAGGGCUGGGCCUUAACCUCCUAAUGUGCCGGAGGAACGAAUCUUUGAGGUGGUGCCUUGUUGGCCCGUAGACACCAGUGAGGAGGAACGUAACUCCUGAGCGAAUAUCUGUUAUUUGCGCGGAGAUCGAGAAGCGGCCGAUUCGAACCUCCUGGACAUCAAAAUCUCCACUACUCCAAAGGAGAAGGAUUCCUCCUCUCGUGCCUCUCGCCGGCUUGAAGGCAAAUUUAUCAAGCUUGUAGCCUCCUAAGAAACGAGCAAGGCCGUCAUCUAUGCUUUGGAGUUUGGUCUCUUGGAAGCAGGCCAAGGUGCACUUUGUGUCAAGCAUGAGCUCAUGGACUGCGUUGCAGCGUGCAGGUGAAUUUAGGCCUCUCACAUUCCAGGAGAUGAGAUCUAGACUUUGUGCCAUUUAAAAACGAAGAGUUCUCUAUAUCUGGACCGGCCCUUAGCCUCUUUUAAAAAAGGCCACUUCGGGGCGCAUGGCCCAUUAACGUUUGGCGGCCCAAUUCGCAAGUCAGUGUUGAAAAGGCAGCCUUUGGGCAGGCGCGGCCUGAUACGCACGCGGCCCACGAGCUGGCGCAUGGCCGUUCUUGUAGUGCGCGCGUGGCCCAGGUGACGCAUGGGCAGGCUUGCCGUGGGGGGAGGCGCGCUGCCCAAGCACGAGUGUGUGCGGCCCAAACGCCGGCCCGUGAAGAGGCGGGGGCGCGUCCGAGCGCCUGCAAGGUGUUCGACCGCGGGCGACGGCCACGGAGUGGCGGCCGGGUCCGAAGUGGGAAGCAAGUCUAACGACAGUCUGUCGGAGCGGGUGCAAACACAACAGCACGCAGGUGGAAGAGGAGGAAGACGAAGUUCUUGCCAACAUUGGCUACAAAAGCACAAGUCUUUUAAUGAAGUUGGGCAGGUUGCACGCAGGCCGCCGGCAAUCCAACCAGGAGAAGCAGCUCGCAGGCCGCCGGCGAUGUAAUCGCAAAUCGAAGAAGGACGAUACAUGGAGCGAAGUGGACUCCCAAACCAACUCCAGCCGAGGUGAAUACGCAUUAGGCGGCGACGGUGUCCUCAGCAUCCUCCGCCGCGUCGGCUAUACCUUCGCCAACUAGAGAUAUCAGCGCCGCAUCCAUUGUCUCCUGCUCUUCGUCGUCGAUGCCGAAGAUGGUGGUGAGGGCGGCGAUGACGUGCGCCGGCAGUGGGCCAUCGAACAUGGCGACGUACUCGGCGAUGACCUGCUCAAUUGAAGCGCCUUCCUUGCCGUUGAGGAGGCCCAGCCUUUUGAAGAGAACGCGUUGGCAGCGCUCCAUCGUCGGCCGUGCUGGUUGCUUGGCAAUGCGCUCACUGCGUCGGGUGGGCUGGCUGUGCUGCCUUGUGCGGAUCUUGAGGCGUCGUCCCAUGUGGAGCGGUCGCGCACACGGCGAUCUUGGUGGCGACCUCGGCGGCGAGGCGAUGAUCGGUUGCGGCGGCGAGGCGAACAGAGCAUCGAGGACGCCCGUCGAGAUCGGUGACGCCGAGGCUGCUGCUUGGGCAAGCUGGGUGGCAACCGGGGAAGGUGGCGGCGGCGCCACAAUGUCAUCAAUCUCCAUCGCGCCGGUGGGGACGACCUGGACAGCCGGGGGAGAAGGCGGCAGCAUCAGGUGGCCGCCCUUCCCCCCUGCAUCACCAGUCAUUUCCAAGUUGACGCCCCCCCCUGUGGCGACGGGAGAGCUCAGCACCGGGCCUUGGGCUAAUGCCGGCGAGGUGACCCGCGGGGGCGGCGAGUCAAUCUGCGGGAAUGGCUCUCCCACAGGGGGGUCGGUCGCCGCAGCCGCCAGCUCAAUCCGCAGGAGCGCCUCCUCUACUUGUUGGCAAGUAGUCGUCGAGGUAGGCGGCGGCAGCGCCGACUUGAUGCGCGCGAAGGCGUGUUCGACCGGGAUCGGCUCCCAGGCCGCGUUUUGGAACCAGGCUUCAAUCCUCGGUUUGGCUGGGCGACCCGAGAGGGCUGGCGUGGCAGCCUUGUCUGCGAUGAUGGAGAGCCGCUGCAGUUGGCUCACCGGCGACAACGCGUUCGUCUGGGGAUCCUGACACAAGAAGCUGGAGUUGUGCAGCGCGUGGAGCAAACGAAAUUCACCUACCUCUGCCUGGUUCGCGGAUUUGUGUAGAAGGGGAAUGUUCAUCAGUUUGCUCGAGUCGUAGACCGGAUUAGCCGUGCGCCGCGUGCCGCCGCCGCUACGGUUGGCGCCUCCCCUGUCCCGGCGACGCGGGGAGCGCGUGCGUUCACGGCGGUAGUCGUUGUCGCUUCCCCGCCUAUCAUCCCGGCCACGGCCGAGAUCCCGGCCUCGGUCAUCACGAUCAUCAUCGCGGUCAUUGCGGCGCCAGGGUCUCGGGUGGUCAUUGCCAGACCCCCGACGACGACCACGCCCGCCGCGCCCGCCCUGAUCGCGGUCAUGGCGGCCAUCGCGAUCAGCACGGCCGUCGCGGUCGUCGCGCUCGCCAUCCCAAUCAUCCUCGUCAUCGUGGUCGCCUUCAUCAUGAAGGCGUCCUCCCCGUGCUGCGCGUCCACGGCGGGGUCUGUCCGCGCGGCCAUCGAUGGCGUCGCGGUCAGACCGGCGUUCUGGCCGGCGAACCUCCCGGCGCUCGUCAUCCCGAUCACGCCCUCCGAGGCGCUCGUGGACCGAUCGUGGCGGCGGCGGGUGGUGCGGGAAGUCUUCAAAGACUCGCCCUGGGACCUGUUCACCGUCGAGCACUCCCAGGCUCCAAGGCGGUAGGCAGCGCUUGGCCGGCUGGAAGCUGCCUUGCCCCUCCAGAUCAAUGGUCGCCGCCGUGUAGUCAUGAAUCUCCUCCAAGUGGAAGAGCACCGGAUGGCGCACCCCCCUCUGCCAGUGCUCCAGUGGGUUCUCCACCGCAAAUAGGGGCGCCAGGUUCGAGUCCUUCGCCCGCUUUGUGAAGCCAAGCCACAUCCUCUUCGGGAUGGUGCUAGGAUUCGCCGUCCACGCCCAUAGGUCGAUGGAGCGCGUGUUACCAGACUCCACUGGGUGGACGACGUCCGUCUCGAUCUGUUCCAGGGCGCAAGUGCGACCAAUGAUGCGCUCAGCAAUGUCCGCGGCCCAGGCAUGCAUGGGGACGCCGUCAAGACACAACCGAACUCGGAACAUCAAGGCGACACCAAGCGCGCUCUCGAGGCUGCGCCACUUGAUGAAGUGGAUCUCAAUGCCGUGCCGCUUGACGUAUCCCUUCGCCAGCGCUUCCUCACAAUGUCGACGGUGCUGGAACUUGAUGAGGAAAGCUUGUGGGUGAUGGAGAGACACGGCCACCUCGCCACGGCGGAGCUUGAACUCAUCGAGGAAGGCCUGCUCGACGUCGCGCGGCUCGGUGGUCGGCGGAGCGCGGGCCGCCCAGGAGACCGCUGCGGUCUCACUCCAUUCACGCAGCUCCUCGUCAAUGGCGUACGAGGUGGGGAUGAAGCAAGUGUCCUCCUCAGGGCGCGUCGCCGGGUCGCCGAGCUGCGACAUCUUAGCCAGGGGCGGUCGCGGAGGCGGCGGCGGGGGCCGGGUGACGGGAUCCUGCUUGGCGGGUGACGGCAGUGGAGCAGGGGAGGCGCGGCUGCGUGGCGAAUGCGCUGACGAGCGGGCGCGACGAGGGGCGGGGGGGUGCGUGUCAGGAAGGCGGCGCGUGUUGGUACGACGGCGAGGUGGAGUGCGUUGGCGAGGCGGAGGCGGGGAGUGUGAGGUAGAACGAACUCGACGUGGUGGAGGGGACGAGAGCCGAGCACGGUCAGCGCGAGACGCGCCGCGGAGUCGAGGCGCGCGGUUCGCAGCGUCGCGGUGGCGACAGUCGCGCGCCCGAUGGCCGGAGCGACGACAGAGGAAGCAGCGGACUGGAUCUCUACACUGGGCUGCACGGUGGCCGCGGGAGAGGCAAAUGAAACAUUUCCCACUGGUCUGCGCCCAAAAGUCGCGGUGGGAGAGGCAGCCUCGCCUAGUCCGGACGACGUCGUUUCGCCUUGAAGGUGGCCGGUGCGCCCUGCUUGAAUGCUCUCCGCUUGAAUGCUCUGCACGUCUCCACCAAUGCUUCCGCUGAACCCGGAUCCAGCCCGGUUCUCCGGGGAGAGAGCCGCCCAUGUCCUGCUCGGCGACGCGACGCGGAGGCAGGCUAGCAUCGUAGGGAGCAGCUCUCCGCGGCGAGGCGUCAUGGCGAGCGGCGCGGUUGUUGAGCCGGACGGGAGAGGUAAAUGCAGAGUUGAAAACGGGGCGUGGUGAACAGCGCGCCCAGCCCUGUUGGCUCAAAUUUGAAUUUGAGCUUGCCGCCCCUCUGACAAUCUCCGCGAACGAGCGACGGAGUGGCGGAUCUGGCGUCUCCAGCACAACCGAGGCCGAUCUCGUGCAGGCGUGGCCGUCCCUGGCCAGCGGCGGCGGCUGCGGAAGGGGGGAUACCGGGGCCAGAAGAGACGACGGCGUUGUCUUGCUGGUGGGGGGAACGAGGCUUGAGCGAAGCGCCAGCGGGGAGGGCCACGAAGCGGCGGAGACCGCGGAAGGCCAGCGGAGAAGGGUGCGCGUGGACGGCGCCGGCUGGAGCGCCAGCGCCGGCGGCGGCGGGCGCAGGGGCAUGCUUACCUUACCAUGUUAUUUGCCUUCCUCUUUAAAACCUUGUCUGUCAGUCCAUAUAGACAAUACUAUGUCCGUACAUGUCCCGUGCAUAGCCAUGCGAAUACGUGAUCCUAAGCACAAGAUGCCGGGGUGUGCUUCGGCUAUCGAGAAUUGACCCGGAUUGGACGCUCUCGCAUGAAACUAAACCGGCUAGCCGAAGCACACCCCUGCAGGUCUGAUCGUCUGAUCGUCAAAAGAAUCCAGCAAUACGAUGGUGGACUCGGAGAGGGAGACUCGUAUACCUUUUUUUUUUCCCAUUGUAGUAACAGGUCAUGUGUAGCACGACGGUAUGUUGUAUGUCAUCGCCCUUGUCUUUGUGUACACGUGAUUCAGUUACAGGCUGUCUGAGCUACACGCCACAGUUUGUUCCACCGAAGCUGCACAUUUCACAAAGUUGAACGCCGCCCCUGCUGAACCCUACCCCUUUGACUCAUCCUGUCAUCCCCAUGAAUGCGGAUGUCACCACUCGUGUGGAGAAGAUUCAUAUACCUGCGCGAUACGGCAGAGGCGAAAGGCACAACCGCACAAACCGACGCAGAAAGUCUCCGGUGGCCAGAAAACUCUCCGGUGGCUCCACGUACGUACGCGUGUCGCCUCGCGCCGAAGCAAGCCGCACCCAGGCACACCAUCCCACACGCACGUAGCUCCGUCACCGCGUCACGUACGAACGGACUAGUACGAGUCAAUACGUACCGAGCGCGGUAUGCGCGCGGUUCGUUCAGAUUUUACCGGGGGCAUCAAAUGUUAACCAACUUGGGUUAGAGAUAAUCACAACUAGUAGUAACCGAGUCAAGUCAACCCGCACAGAUCUCAUGCCAGAUGCCACCACGUAUCAACCGGGAGAAAGGUAGUAAAAGUAAAACCCGCCGCUUACGCCGGUCGUGAAUAUAUCGGUGCAUGUGCUUCAAAAUUAGUAAGUUCAGAAGUACUCCGCACGGCAAAAUUAGGAGUAUGCGUAUUCGAUCUAACUAUCUACUAAGAGCAAAUUGGUGUUAAGCCUCUCCGCACGGCGUCGCCGUCGAUCUGAUUUCCGUCCAAUUCGCCUAGACGAGGACUAGUAGUACAAUACUCCUAGAUUGCGCCGCACCACGCCACCACGUACGCACGCGUGCUACAAAUUUCCCUCUUCCUCCGUCUACCGAGAAGUGGCCCAAAAGGGGCGCCUCGCUCUCGCCCCCCUCCCGACUCAGGCACCACCAUCUCGCAUCAUUUGUUUUUUCUCCCUGGAAAGAGCGGCCAUCUCGCCCUGCGUUGCGAGAUCCCCGUGAACCGUCGCGGCCGGGCGGUGGUAAUCGUGGCAAGGACGGAUGCAGCACAAAUGGAAGGUCGUGGAGGGCGGCGCCGGUGCCGGUGCCGGCGGCGGCGGGGGAGAUCAGCGCCGGCGGUGCGUGACGGCGUCGUUGUCCAUGCUGAUCGCGGCCACCCUGGCGUUUCUUGCCUACGUCGCCUUCUUCCCGUAUGACGGCGCGGGCGGGCUGUACCGGUGGUGGAGAUGCGAGGGUUGCGGCGACGCGGCGGGCGGGUUCGCCUUCGACGAGGCGGCCAUGGCGCAAGGACCUACGGCUGGUGGCGCCCGCCGCCGCUCGCCGACGACGCUGUCGCACAUCGUGUUCGGCGUCGGCGCCUCGGCGCGGACGUGGGACAAGCGGCGCGGGUACGCGGAGCUGUGGUGGCGCCCCGGGGAGAUGCGCGGCCACGUCUGGCUCGACGAGCAGCCGGUGGGGCCCUGGCCGGCGGCGACGUGCCCGCCGUACCGCGUCUCGGCGGACGCGUCCCGGUUCGGGGACCGGGCGUCGGCGUCCCGGAUGGCCAGGAUCGUGGCGGACUCGUUCUUAGCCGUCACGGCGGAGAUGGCGAACGGCACCACCGAUUCUCCCGAGGCGCGGUGGUUUGUGAUGGGUGACGACGACACGGUGUUCUUCCCGGACAACCUGGUGGCCGUGCUGAACAAGUACGACCACGAGGAGAUGUACUACGUCGGGGCGCCGUCGGAGAGCGUGGAGCAGGACGUGAUGCACUCGUACGGCAUGGCGUUCGGCGGCGGCGGGUUCGCCGUCAGCUACCCGGCCGCCGCCGAGCUCGCCAAGGCCAUCGACGGUUGCCUCGAACGAUACAGGCUGUUCUACGGCAGCGAUCAGCGCGUGCAAGCCUGCCUCAGCGAGCUCGGCGUCCCUCUCACCCGCGAGCCCGGAUUCCACCAGGUGAAUAUCCAUCCGCACUCCAAUUAUUUUUUCCAUUUUACUACCAAACAUUACUCUGAUCCUAACACAGCCCUAACAAUCCUCGAAAAUGUUUCCUUUAAUCGUCCAACCUCCCAGGAAUCGGGAAAAGGUAAUUCCAAAUUAUAUCAUGUUCUUAUUUCCAUGCAAACUUUAGCUUAGCUGAUCACAGUGCGGUUGCAAUUGGCAAUUACUCCCAGACCGAUUUCUCGGCAACAACUGCCAAAAUCAAAAACUUUUUUGCAGUUGCAAUUGUCAAUUACUCCCAGACCAUUUCUCUAGCCAAAAAUAAAAACUUUUUGACUAACUUUUCACCGCUUCUCCAAGCAAAAUCCUCCACACAGAAGAGGCGAAAUAGAAAGGUCUGUAUCCAAUCGUGAUCGUUAGGAUUUUCACACUUUAGAAUCUUUGGCUCCUGCACUUUCUAGAAAUUACUACUCAACACCCCUGCUGGCUGUAGGCAAAUGCACAAUGCCAUCCGCGGGAUGCCCUUGUUCCGGCUAAAGUUGCCGGACAGCGUGGAGGCACACGGACCAAAAGGCCUAGCUCGUCCUGGGAGCGACACCGCUCUCUGCCCCCAUGUGAUCGCGGGUAUCUCGCAGGACAAGCGUCUACAUGCCACAGGGGGACUGACCCUAGCUAACAACCGUGGUGCCCGCCCGUCGCUUUCCAUUUUUCCGGGCACCACCACCCCCAUCGGCACAUCCACUCAUUCCCCUUUCAUCCACCCCGACAUACACGGCGGCGUGAAAAACAAAUGAGGAGAUCAGGCGACGAGGCGGACAUCGCCCUGAGUUUAGUAGAUAUCCGCCAUGCCGGUUGGUAGCGGUAGAGCCAUAUCAUAUUUGUUACGUACUGCAGGGUGGAUGGUCCCGGGGGUCUAGUUAUGUUAGUUUGGAUUGCAGCGCCAAAAAUAAUCCCGUGGGGCGGAGUGGCGAUCUCGCCUUUGGGCCGUAGGUAUCGCCGUUUUUUUCGCUGCUUGCCCUAUUUCGUUGUCGUGGGCGUAUGCACUACUGCUAUGUGGCGUGGCUGCACGAUUAGUGGCUGGAAGCCAAAGCUUAAGCUUGGUUAAUGAGGCAUUGAUGACUGACGUUGAUGGUUGUAGUAUUGUAAAGAAAAAAAUAACAUCGGUCGCGCCCGGGGCGGUGGACCAGUGAUAUACUAUAGCUUUUCCGGUGAGUCGCCAACACGGCAGUUGGUUGGCGCGACGUCGUGACCCCGCGGCGCCAGGUGCCUCGCUGUCCUUUUCCCGGUGACGAAGCGGCCCAGCCUAGGUGUCACGAGAUGUGGAGAUUAGCGCUGUAGUUUAGGUGUGGCAGCGGCCUACGGAAACGAUUUCAAGUUUUGGAACGGGUGAGGGUCAUUAGAGCACCCGCAAUGGUAAAGUAACGUGCUCUCUAUAAAACAUUACAACUCAGCAAUAUACUAGAUUAAUAGUAAACUACCUCAAUAGUAUGUCUAUAUGGAUAUCUAUAGCUCUUUAAUCCAUUGCCUCGUUUUUCUGUAUAGACUAUCUACAGGUUAGUAGAUAGCUUUGCUCUCUCUUCAUUUAAUCUCUUUCAAGUAGGAAAAUAUGCUGAUAUGGAUAUCUUGUAGAGAGCCUAUAAAUAACCAUUGCGGGUGCCCUUACAUUACCGUUGGUAACCGCGUGGUUAUCAGACUUAUCACGGGGUACGGUAAUAGAAAAAUCACGAUAAUCUCCUUAAAUUUAAAUAAAUUUUAAAAAAUAUUUUUUUAUAAAUUUUGUAAGUACGGUUUUUCACGAUUAUUGUACGGUAACUGUGCUUACCGUCAGGAUGCUGUAACCUCGGUUCCGGCGGUUUGGAAACCAUGGUGAGGGUUACUACUUCUUGUUCCUGGUCGCCGCAGUAGUAACGGACCUAGAGAUAGUGGUAGCGGACGCAUACAAAUGUAGUAGUGGAAAACUCACUGGAAUAUAUCUCCAUCUCUCGUUCUCUCGUUGGAAUUGAGCAGGGGCAGUGGCAGUACUACGGCUCAACUUUCGUGGGUAGUUCUACCGUGCUUGACAUGCCGUGCGGUCAGCGAGGGAAAGAAACCUUUUCCCUCACGUCGAACCGGCCGCUUUUCUUUUCACCUUUUUUGAACCCAUGCCUCUUGGGGACACAUGUCCACCAACCAGAUCUGAGAAUUCUUUGCUUUUGGGCUAGUUUAGUUCCCAAAAAUUUUCCCCUUCACCUAUCACAUCGAAUCUUUGGACACAUGCAUGGAGCAUUAAAUGUGGACAAAAAGAAAAACCAAUUGCACAGUUUAGCUAUAAAUCGCGAGACGAAUCUUUUGAGCCUAAUUAGACCAUGAUUAGCCAUAAGUGCUACAGUAACCCACAUGUGCUAAUGACGGCUUAAGUAGACUCAAAAGAUUCGUCUCGCGGUUUCCAGGCGAGUUCUGAAAUUAGUUUUUUCAUUCGUGUCCAAAAACCCCUUCCGACAUCCGGUCAAACGUCUGAUGUGACACCCAAAAAAUUUCUUUUCCCCAACUAAACACAGCCUUUGUGGCGUGUCGUAACAAGGUCGCCAUUUGUCACUUUCUGCCCUCUGUCUUCUUGUCGUCCUCACCAUCGUUCACCAUCUGGCAUCGAGAAUCUUCUUACUAACAACUGUGGCCGCAACAACGACUGACAGGUGGACGUCCGCGGCGACGCGUACGGGAUGCUGGCCGCCCACCCGCUGGCGCCGCUGGUGUCGCUCCACCACCUCGACCACAUCGAGCCCAUCAGCCCCGGGGGGCAGCAUGGCAGCCCGCUGGACGCGGCGCGGCGGCUGGUGCGCGCGUCGCGGCUCGACCAGGCGCGGUCGCUGCAGCAGGCGUUCUGCUACCAGCGCGGGCCGCGCUACACCUGGUCCGUGUCGGUGUCGUGGGGUUACACGGUGCAGCUGUACCCGUGGGCCGUGGCGCCUCACGAGCUGGAGGUGCCGCUCCGGACGUUCAAGACGUGGCGGUCGUGGGCCGAUGGCCCGUUCGUCUUCAACACGCGGCCGCUGAGCCGCGACGACGCGUGCGCCCAGCGGGCCGUCUUCUUCCUCAGCGCCGCCCGGAACGAUACGUCCUCCCGCGGCCGCGGCCGCAGCCGAGCCACCAUGACGGAGUACACCAGGCGCGUUGCGAAGCCGGGGGCCAAGGAAUGUGACCGGCCCAGCUUCCUCGCGGCGUCCACGGUCCACACGGUCAGGGUCUUCGCCCCAAAGAUGAGCCCAAACGAGUGGACACGGGUAAGAACAACUGGCUAAACUGCUGUUCUGAUGAAUUCCUGAUGCAUUCUGGCUCUCCCAUGGGCAUGCUUAUGUGCGUUUUAUCUGUUGUUGCAGGCCCCACGGCGGCAUUGCUGCAGCACGAAGAGGACGAGGUUUGGCACUGAGCUGGAGGUGCGGAUACGAUACUGCGGCCGAGGAGAGCUCACCACGCCGUAGCUCUCUGCCGAUGAUCCCGCCGCAGUUUUGCCAACAGCACGGAGGGCUAGAUGCCAAGAUUUUAGUAGCGGCUAGUGCCAUGACACCGAACUGACUGAAGAGGACGGCAGGGUGAAACACCGUAUUUCACUGCGGAUUUUUGGACAGAUUCUGGUUUGUCUUCGUUGUGCACGUACAAGUGAUUAUACGGCUCGUCAGGCCGCAGACACAUGCUGACAUGCAUACGCAUGAUUGCAUACCCCGGGUACACAGUAAUCCGUUUGGCUCGAGCGCUCUUUUUCUGUAAAGAGCUGUAAAGGGAGUGGUGAUCAGACUUAACGAUUUCGACAUGUAAAGCGUAGUAGGACUAGUUUGAAAGGAUGGUCUUUUCACUGUUUUGAGAAAGAAAAGGUGGUAUUUAUCUUCUGGAGGUACUUUCAGUUCUUCGUGGAUCCACAUUGCACAAGAAAUAGAAGGGACAAAGUAAUAAGGAAUAAGUUCACUUUAGGUCGCUCAAUUUGUUGCUGAGUCUAACAUUCGUCCCUGAACUAUAGCAUAUCCUCCAACUCACAAUACCAUGUUAACUUUGGUCCCUCGGUAGUAUAGUGGUGGGUUUCGGCUAACGUGCCGACUGAGUGAAGUGUGGGACCCACAUAUCAUAGCAAUUCAAUCUAAAUAAAAAAUAAAAAUUUGUGGACUUAGUGACACGUCUCCUUCCUCUUUCAAUCUCGGUUUCUCUCAACUUUUUUCUCGGUGAUAUCGGCGGGACCGGGACAUCGGUGCGGCAGGCGGGAGCAGGCCAUCGGCGUGGCAGGAGGGUGUCAGCGGUGCACGAGACCACAGGCCACAAGCGGCAGUGUGGAGGAGAGCGCUGGCGAUGCGGUAGCAUCUCCUCCGGGCUCGGGCCCGCAUCGCGCGGGACUCGUGCGCUCGUUGUUGGCGCCGUGAGAGCGACCUCUACCCUCUCUUCAUCAUCCUCCUCUCUCUUCUCAUGUCCUCUCUCCUCUUCUCUCUCUUCCCCUCGCAUGCACGCGCACACAGCAGCAUACAGGCAGCAGCGUAGCAAACAUCACACCGCUCUCAUCCAUAUCAACGCUGAAUCUCCGCUUGCUUGCUGCUGCUGUAGAGUCGAGAAGCUUCGGGGUGGGAGUUGUGACUGCGGCGGAGGAGAGGGGAGGAGGAAGGGGUGGUGAUGCGUGGUGAUGAUCGAUGCAACUGCUAAGCCAGUGACGGCGAGGCUGGUAGCGCUCGAUGUGCUUUGUCAUCUCUGCCUAAGCUCGGCCUUGUCGCUGCCCUCCACUGUGAUAGGAGAGAGAGGCGCAGUGGUGCAACCCCCCCCUUCUCUCUCUGCGUGCACGCGCACACAGCAGCAUACAGGCAGCUGCGUAGCAAACAUCACACCGCUCUCAUCCAUAUCAACGCUGAAUCUCCGCUUGCUUGCUGCUGCUGUAGAGUCGAGAAGCUUCGGGAUGGGAGUUGUGACUGCGGCGGAGGAGAAGGGAGGAGGAAGGGGUGGUGAUGCGUGGUGAUGAUCGAUGCAACUACUAAGCCAGUGACGGCGAGGCUGGUAGCGCUCGAUGUGCUUUGUCAUCUCUACCUAAGCUCGGCCUUGUCACUGCCCUCCACUGUGAUAGGAGAGAGAGGUGCAGUGGUGCAACCCCCCCCUCUCUCUGCGUGCACGCGCACACAGCAGCAUACAGGCAGCUGCGUAGCAAACAUCACACCGCUCUCAUCCAUAUCAACGCUGAAUCUCCGCUUGCUUGCUGCUGCUGUAGAGUCGAGAAGCUUCGGGAUGGGAGUUGUGACUGCGGCGGAGGAGAGGGGAGGAGGAAGGGGUGGUGAUGCGUGGUGAUGAUCGAUGCAACUACUAAGCCAGUGACGGCGAGGCUGGUAGCGCUCGAUGUGCUUUGUCAUCUCUGCCUAAGCUCGGCCUUGUCGCUGCCCUCCACUGUGAUAGGAGAGAGAGGCGCAGUGGUGCAACCCCCCCCCCCCUCUCUCUCUCUGCGUCCACUGCCGCGAUGAGCUCAGGAAGUCAAAGCAGCUAAAACCGGCUACCAUACCGCUGAGGAUUCAGUUAACACGGUAUUGUGAGUUGAGGAAUGAGCUGUAUGUAUUUCGGUUUAGGGAUGAAUUUCAAACUCAGCGAUAAAUUAAGGGACCCAUAGUGAACUUGUUAGAACUAAAUAAUGGGCCAUAAGCCCAUAGCCCAUUGACAAGGGCACACUGGCCCAGAAUCGAUAGAAAUUUAACUGGGCCAGAGUAGAUCUCCAGGUCAGUUAAGUUCUUGAGGCAUUAUUUUCUUUUUAAUUUACGGUGCAUAAAAGCAAUCCUUGGCUUCUUGCAUUUGACAGUAAUCUCGACCGAAAACAAAAGACAAAAAUCCAUCAGUAAAUGCAGGUCGAUUGGUAUCUCGUAGUGGCACAUGUUAUGAUGUUGAACCCAAAAAUAAAUUUCCUAGGAUAUACUGUAUCAUGCGUGUAAUUUCUCUGAAGUUGCAAGUCUACUGGACGAUCUGUUGUGUGAUAUAAGAGAGUCAAAAUACAGUUAUACACAACAUGGCUCGGAAAAAAAGGGACAUCUCUCAAAAUACAGGUCAGACAGAAUUGUGAAGAAAAAAGGGGCAUCUCUCAAAAUACAGUCCAGACAGAAACGUGAAUAAAAAACAUCAUUACAAUCAAGCUUUUGCGCUCAAACUAGUCCCAAUUUUCCUCUGGAGACAAAGUUUCAUCUAUGGAGCAUAGCGCAACUUGCAAGAACUUAAGAGCUGUACUGCCCCCUUUAAUUUCCGUCCUUUGAUAGACACAUUCCCGGCAAAUUCUCGUCCUCACGAUCUCGAGAAAAAGGCACAAGAUGGUGAACAAAUUGAUUAUCAACAAGUAAAGUACAAUCCAACAGUGCCCAUCACUCUAUCAGGCUCCCAAUCCCUUUCAGGGAAGCAUCCAAGUGGGGGAAGCAGAGGAGAAAGGGUGGUCAAACAGCCAAAUGCCGAGCCGCCCAGCGUGUGUGGCUCACAUUGCCCGUUGAAUUAUCCCACGAGUUCUUUGGCUCCUUGCCUCCUUGCAGGUUUGCACCGAUCCAUUUAAAGAAAGUCAACUUCGUUGGGGGAAAUCCUGGCCACAAGAUCUGCCCCAUCGCCAAUCUAUCCAUUCCUCAAGGCAUACGAUAGAGGUUACUCCGUACCAGAAGAGUGGUCCACUCUUCCCUCUCAGAUAUUUUCGCCAAAUCGCGUGCACAUAACAACUCAUGGAAGAAACUACUAGGAAUAUUUCUUGCAGAUUCAAUUUGCAAUGUACUGUACUGUAACACGGUUGAAAAUUUUCGUUUUCAGCCGGAAUUGAACUGUUCUUUUUGUGAAGAUUCUAUAUAAUUCAUAUGAAACUCAUAGUACUAGUACGUUCUGGACGUGGUCUUAAUUAAUUUCCUUGUAGCUUUGUUUGCUUGACCAAGUCAAAACGCUGCGAGGCAUCGCUGGCGAGUGGCGAGCCCACACAUUGUCAAAACCUUGUUUAAUCAAGGAACCGGUCCAUUCGUGCAUGGAACCGGGCCUCCAAUUAAAAUGCGUGCAUGUGGAUAAAUACUCCUAUAUAUAUCCGCAGAGUACAGUAGUAGUACAUGUUUGGCACGAAACGGGCCGGUGCGGACGACGACGACGGACGCCGAGUUUUCCGUGUAGCCGAUAGGCUGGAGCGCGACGCCACCGCGCGCCGCACCGCCCGCCGCAUGCAAGUGGCAUCGUCGUCGAGAUGUAGCGCGCGGGUCGCAAUCACGUGGUACGUAACUGGUGAUGCAAUAUAGGAGUAUGCAACCGCGCAUGUGUGCUGUGCGUGCUUGAGCUGGUGCGUUGGGCGUUGGACUAGUUGGGUGGGGGUUGGACGCGGCCGCGCGGCGAAUUCGAGUUGUUCAUACGCGCGGCGCGCCGCACCGCGCUCGGUCGAGGAGAAAUCGAGCAAGGCUGACCAGCUUCCGUUCUGCGUUGCGGCGGGCGCGCGGGAUGUUCGUCGCUUCAGAAAGAUAAGUAUAUGACCAUGUGUCCAAGCAGCGGGCUGCCGACGUCGGCGGAGUGUUUUGUCAACACCUCGUAUAUGUGCUUUAGAAAGAAAGAAAAAAGGUUUUUGCUUCGAUUGCAAGGGAAGCGACUAGCCAUUGAUUCUGCUUAAUGAGGAAAUUGAGAGCUGGCUGGUCGGUUUCUGUUUUCUUUCUGUCGACCGAGAGAAAUGGGUGUACUACAGUACGUACUACAGAAUACUGAUAGAAUUUGAUUUGUAGUCGAGAGACUUCUAAUAUCCAAUUACCGUGCUCAUUCACUGUAGAUAAUUGGCAUCUCUCAGGUAUACCUUUUAUUUUAUUUUAUUUUAUCCUACGAGGGGACAUCACUUAAACUCUGGGGGUCUGGGUCAAGUGAAAAGAAAAUUGGAUUAUGAGUUUAAUAUGGUGUCUCACGGGCCCACCAGGACUAGCUAAGACGGUGGGUCAUACAACUAUAUAAGACGGGGCCCUGCCUAGCAGCGUACUUGUCGACUACUAUAGCUCUGCUAAAAUACCCUUUUUUGGACUUAUUUAGAUACUUUUUUGAAGUAUAUAUAUUUAAUUUUUUUUUGAAGGAGAGGUAAUAAUUGAAUUUGAACUGAAAGCUUGAAAUUCAACACUGCUAUACCGAUUUGGAUCCAAAAUCCACUCGAUAUAUCCAAAGAAAGCUGAGCUGUAACCUGCAAGUCAAGGUCGAGACGUUACGUCGAGGGACGCCGAUUUCUGCAGCGAGAAUUGAGCAUAUAUCAAAUGGGAUGACGGGAUCGGGGUGGAGGAUGUAGGUUGCAUGCAAUGCACUCAGGCCCGAGAGGGACCCAUCCCCGAUUGCGGCCACCCGGGCGUUCCACGGCCGUUGCUUUCGCCGAUCGCAACGCUCCAACUAUCAAGUUUGGACAUGUGUGUGACUGACACCAACACGAAAGCUAUAGCAUCUGCCCAUUAUCACACCAACCCUAGACAGUGUAGCCCACACCGAUGAUCGAUCGACCGAUCGAUUGGGUAGCCGCAGCCGCAGCUGGCUGCUGGGAAAAUGACCGCACAAACAGAACUCGAUUUGUAUGGUUCGUUUUAAUCGGUGUGCAUUUGUUUACUAACAAAAGCUCCAAGUUUUUAAUAGAAAAAGACCAAAACUUCUCGUUCGUGGGAGUGAAAUUUCAGUUGAAAACGGAAGGGUGAAGGGGGAGAGUAGAAUGAUCGAUCGGUACGUGCCGGAGUGUCCAAUCGAUCAAUUAUAACUUUCGUGACUGGUCUUUUUUAAAAACCUGUAACGACAAGAACAUGUGGCUGGCAAAACCUAGCUAUUAUAGCACGGAGGCAAACAUAUGCAUCGGUAUGGCAGCGCCUCUGUGCCGCUGUGUGUGACCCCAGCAUCGAUCAGCAGGCAGGCAGCAGUCUCUAUCUCGCUCAUUAUCUUUGGCCUUAUCCUCCCUAUCGGAAAAAAGAGCUCUGUUCGAACUGUUCGUUAUUUAAUAUAGCAUGGAAAAUAAAGGAAAAAAGAUAGUGAACGAACGUUUGAACCAGGGUACAGCUACGUACGCACGUAUAAUCUACUUGACUUUGGACAAAGGAAAAGAAAGAAAAAGGCUUGACAGAUCUCUUCCCCGUGUGUACGUUUAUACGCGUGACUAACUCCAGCAUCCGGACCGGAUGAUCGAUGCAUGCAUUGAUGAGAAGAUUAGAGCAGCAGCCCCACCCUACCGUGGUCUGUGGAUACACAGCGCUGACGACGAGGGAGAGGAGACGACGAACAGUCCAAAGGCGCACGUGUUCCAGCAGCGCCGUGAAAAUGGUGCAAUGCAUGCGCGAACGGUCUCAUAUGCAGUCUCGACCGAUCGAUCUCAUCUCACUACUCGGCAUCGACGGCAUGCAUGCGUGCUAGCUACUCCCUCCGUCCCACGGUACAAGGAAUUUUGAGUUUUUUUUUAACUUUGGACCACUCGUCUUAUUUAAUUUUUUUAAAUAUAAAAAACGAAAGGUUAUACUUAAAAUACUGUAGAUAAUAAAGUAAGUCACAAAUAAAAUAAAUAAUAAUUUUAAAAAAAUUUGAAUAAGACGAGUGGUCAAACGUUACAAGCAAAAAUUCAAAAUCCACGGAGGAGUAGCUAGCUACCAGCUGCCCUCGUCUAGCACCUGUUUGCACGACAUUUUUUCAAAGCCCACCUGACCCCGAUCAGAGAGGCCACGCCCCGCGCGCGCCCACCUUCCGCGCACCUUCACCCUCGCCUCUCUCUCAAGUCUCAACGUAGGCAGCUACACGUGGAUCGCUUGGCCACUGAUCAGUGCAACGACGGCGUACGUGUAACGUACUAACGUGUACCCGCGCGAUGGCGAGGAGGACGUUUGCCUCGCGAUUGGGAUUGGGCCGAUUGGGAACAAGACGAACGCGCGGUGUGUGCGUGCGACUGCGACUGGUUCGCGGCUUCGCGCGGUGAGUGGAUCUGUGGAAGGGGAAGUCUAGAGGGAAGCUAAGCAUAAAUAGCCGCGAAUAGCAACGCCCAUCGGUCCGUUCUCUACCAUACCAGUAGCAGCUAAUUAAGUGGGUGGGUUCGCUUGCUUGCUUUGCUUUUGCUUGGAGACGGGAGCGACGCUGGCUUCAGCGAUUGGCGUGGAGAAGCUAGAUUGUUGGUGCGACUUUCCGACCGCGAAAAUAGUAGGGCUGGCAAACCGGUGGCCGGCCGGCGAUCCGGCCGAGGGGAUGGGGAGCAUCGACGGCCACUCGCUGCAGCAGCAUCAGGGGUACUCCCACGGCGGCGGCGCGGGAGGGAGCAACGAGGAGGAGGAGGCGUCGCCGCCGCCCGGCGGUGGCUCGGCUACGGGGUCGGCGGGCCGCCGGCCGAGGGGGAGGCCGCCGGGCUCCAAGAACAAGCCGAAGCCGCCCGUCGUGGUGACGCGGGAGAGCCCCAACGCGAUGCGUUCCCACGUGCUGGAGAUCGCCAGCGGCGCCGACAUCGUCGAGGCCAUCGCGGGCUUCUCCCGCCGCAGGCAGCGCGGCGUCUCCGUGCUCAGCGGGAGCGGCGCCGUCACCAACGUCACGCUCCGGCAGCCCGCGGGGACUGGGGCCGCCGCCGUCGCGCUGCGGGGGAGGUUCGAGAUAUUGUCCAUGUCUGGCGCCUUCCUCCCGGCGCCGGCGCCGCCAGGGGCCACGGGGCUCGCCGUGUACCUCGCCGGCGGGCAGGGGCAGGUGGUGGGUGGGAGCGUCAUGGGGGAGCUGAUCGCGUCGGGCCCCGUCAUGGUGAUCGCGGCCACGUUCGGCAACGCCACGUACGAGAGGCUGCCGCUGGACCAGGAAGGCGAGGAGGGCGCCGUGCUGUCCGGGUCGGAGGGCGCCGCCGCGCAGAUGGAGCAGCAGAGCAGCGGAGGCGCCGUCGUGCCCCCGCCGAUGUACGCCGCCGUCCAGCAGACGCCGCCGCACGACAUGUUCGGGCAGUGGGGGCAUGCAGCGGUGGCUCGGCCGCCGCCGACAUCGUUCUAGCACUGGCACCGGUUAAUCAAUGUCUCUCUACCUAGCUAGUUAGCCUUCCACUUCUUUCCCUAGUUGUUUGAGUAGGUUAAUUAAUCAUUUACCAUGUUAAUUAAUGUGCUAUGUAAUGCAUAAGUACUCGUGUGAUCUUAUCGUUCCAUUUUCUUCAGAGUUUGAAGAAUGUAAAAUUACUGUGCGUAUCAAGAUCGGCAGUGGUUGCUCACUUGCUCCUUCACUAGCUAUCUGCUCGAUCAUAAGCUCUUGCAUCUUGUUCUUCGCAAGCACCAAUUCACGCUUGUGUCAAUUGCUUGGUCAUUUUGCAUACUUUGGACUACUCGAUCACUACAAAAUAUUUCUUGAGUUUUACUCCCUGCAUGCACUGCUCAAUGCGUGAUUAUGCCUGAAUACACUAAUUGUUUUGUUAGAAUUGUGCAUACAUAGCUAUGCUUAAUUGGAUGUGUUCUUUGUACAUGCAUGCAUGGUUUUGCUUAAACUUUCCUAAUUAUACCUCAAUUCAAAUCCUAGCUAGGUUCACCCAGAGUCUAAUUGUAUAUUUCAGCAUAUUCUAAUGUUUUGUUCUUUUAAAAUUCUAGCUUGCUCGGUAUGUUUAUUUAUGUUUCGGUUUGGUAGAAAAAGUUCAGUUGAUUUUGGCAAAUCAAUUAUUCCCUCCGUUGCUAUAUUUUGGGAUGGAUGGAGUAAUUUAAUUUCUAGUUUAGUAAGCUUCGUCUUGAUUAUUCUCUCUCUCUCUUGUCGCACAAACACUCGCACAUACAGAUGAAUUCUUUGGUUUUGACUUCUUAAUGCCGCACUACAACGAAACUCAUGCAUGAUUGUCUAAUCCGGGCAUGCGAAUGGCUAUCGAUUGCACUACGGUAGAGAGUAACAACCUGACAGAUUUUCAUGUUAAGUGCGUUACGUUGUCCAGAUUCAAUUCAUGCGUCACACACCUAAAUGCAAACCCAAGCAUGCUAACCUUACUAUGGAAUUUAUGAGUAGACAAGUGCAGUACAACUCAAUUUGCCAUUUGUGAUAGUAGUGUGUGUAUAUUUGGUAGUGCAUGCAUGUCUUAGCAUGACACUAAAAAGGGAGUGACAAUUCCAUGGUCAGCAAUAUUCCGGCUGCUGGGAAUCAAAGUUAAUUUGCAUUCCUGUCUGCCCUCCAAAUUAAAACACUUUCAUGCAUAAUUCCAUUCUAUCAAGAAUAACCCACACUAACACAGACUAAUGCUCACCCAUCUUUUCAUUGUCUUCUUUUGUCCCAAAUUAGUUCGGUUGGGCAGGAAAAAAAAUGCUCUCGUCACAGAACAAACACUGCAAAGUUAGCUGUGACUUGUCAGUGCCGAUUUGAAGAAGCAUGGAGCCAUGGCGAGACGGCGACACGGUGACACUGUGCCUGGGCCCUACGGGACACUGCCGGGUGAGAUGAUACUCCCUCCGUUUCAAAAUGUUUGACACCGUUGACUUUUUAGCAUAUGUUUGACCAUUCGUCUUAUUCAAAAACUUUUGUAAAAUAUGUAAAAUUAUAUGCCUACAUAAAAAUAUAUUUAACAAUGAAUUAAAUGAUAUGAAAAGAAUUAAUAAUUACUUAAAUUUUUUGAAUAAGACGAACGGUCAAACAUAUGCUAAAAAGUCAACGGCGUCAAACAUUUCGAAACGGAGGGAGUAUAUACGAAGAGACGAGGUGAGGUGAGGUGAAACGAAAUGAUGAUGGAGGUGGUGUCUAGGUAGUGUUUGUGCGUGUAUCUACACGCUCCGACCCCCACGAAACGAAAGGGAUCUUCUUUGCUCAUUACCCAUCUUUGGAUGCCCAGAGUACAUACCAUAUGUGUCAUCUCUGUCACGCCAGAACGCUGUGGAGACGAACCUUCAUGUACAAAACAAACUUAUUCGCUCUGAAUUGCCGCCCUACUUUCUUCUUGCUAGGGACACGAGAGUGGGCGCGACUGUGGUAGUAUGCGUGGAUGGGCGAAUGGCAAAAACGUUGGGUUUUGAUUUCAAGUGUGCCGGUGGUGGGGGUGAGUCUCCGGGAAGGAAUUGGGAUGCGAUGGUGUAUUGUGCUAUACAAAGUUGGCGAUCGAUGCCGCCCUGUCGUGUUGACAAGCCCCUUGGUCGUUGAGAGAGCUAGCUAUCCUCUGGAGUGCAAGCAUGCGUUCACAUCCGACUUGACGUCGUGCCGGCCGGGCCCUCCUCCCCGCCACGGCAAAGCCAGGGAUUGAGGUAGCGAGCGCCGCGCGGUGAUAUCGGUGUGUGGUAGGUGCAACGCGCGCGAGGCCGUUUCCGCCGUUGUUUUUUUUUUUCCCACCGGAGCGCAGUGUACGUACGCGCGCGGGCGCCUAGCUCCCACGCGUCGGGACGCGGAGGCGAGCGAGGCGCGGGGGCGGGGGGACGGUGGGUGGAGCGGUGGACCGCGCGCGGACGCGGACGCGCGGGCGGGCGGGGCGGGCCCGUACGAGCGAUUGCCCCGCGUGCGUAUGGCCACGCACAGGCCCGACCUCCCCACGUGGAGGCAGUCGCGUCAUUUAAGCCACGGGACUAUUUGCCGUCGCCCAGCGCAGCGUGCGUGCACGCGCCGUGCAUGCAUAGUAGGGUAAGCGAGUGCAUGGGGGCAGCUGGUGAACCAUCUGUGUGCCGUUUCCUUUCGGCUUUCGGCCGGCGAUCCGGUCGCACUUUGCGGGCACCGAUUCGUCCUACGUUGGGCAGAAGAAAGGUUCAGAUUUCAGCCACUACAGCUACAAGUGGUAAACUUGCACUACUGUCCGCUGAGAAGCAGGGACUGUAGUGGCGAGAGGAGUGGUGGUAGAGUACAAGCUGGUCAGGGAGACUUCAUCUCCGUAUGGCGAAAUUUCAUAUCGCAUAAGUCUAACCUGCUCCCCGCCUCUCCCAUCCGUAACAACGAGGAGGAAUAGAGAAAGCCAUCACCGGUAGCCAAUAAGUCUAACCAACUUGCGCUGCUAAAAGGAAGACGGCGACAACGACGGCCGGCGCGUAGGGCAGUGGCACAUACUCGCCCAGAGGCCACGGCACGUGUGUCGCCGGCGCGACGCGGCCAUGCAAGUGGCGCGACUUAUAGGGCGCGCCACAGUGGCCGCGUGACCGCGGCGAUCGGCUAUAACAGUGAGCCGGAUUAAUUGAGAUCGACUAUAUAUCUAUCUCUUUCUCUCUCUCGAUCAGGGUCUCUCCGGACAACCAAAUCCCGGAGACGUUUUGACGGCGACGUCGCUGCCGUCCGACGAGCCGGGCGGCGCCGGUGUGCGCGGUAUGAUGCCCUAUUGCCCUGCAUGACCGCAUGCGGCAUGCUUGUCCAGAUCUGAGUGGCGGCAAUCAUAACAGUUUCGCAACGCCGCGGCCAAAAAUAGGACCGGGAUUGCAAGAUGCGGAGCAAUCACGGGGACGUGCAAUCAUUCGGCGCUCGGCGACGCAGUCACCUGACUGAUUGCGUGUAGGAAGCAAUCACGAGAAACCACUAUAGGCCGGCGCGGGAAACGGGAGUGCAAAUUGGUAAGAGGCCUAGAAGGCUAACAACUAAAACAACGGAUCGAGUAAAGGAGGCUCCACUAAUCCUUUCCAACCUGAAAGUGUUAAGCUGAUUCUCCCGGGGAGAAAAAAGUAGUAGUUGAAACUUGAAAGCGUUGCAAGAAAAAUCCGGGCGCAUAAGACAGAAAAAAUGCAGGUAGGGUGAAUUAAGGUCUUGGAUGAGGACGACUAAACGAACCAUGAGUGAUGACAGUAAUUUAAUUCAAGCGAUAGGACUGUAAAAUCAGUAAAUGACAAACCAGGCCAUAAAUACAUGGAAAGGAUAAGGAUGGACCAAUGAAGCAUUAAGAGGGGAGCAAAUGACUUUGUGGACAUCAAAAUUUGGGGGGAAUGUUUUGUUCCUUCACAUAUUAUUGUGCACUUGACCAUCGGUUUUCGAACGUAAAAUAUUAUCGGCUUUACCUCGCCAAAAGAAUUUUAUUUACGCUGUGGUAAAAUUUCGCUAGUUGUCAGUCAUAUUCCUAUAUGCCAGUUCUUCCCUCCGUGCCUUAUUUCUGACGAUAUCAGUGAAUCUGUGAUUGAUCUUGAAGGGAUUAUCCUCCUCGCAAAGAUUUCUCGGAAGCCACUAUCAUGGCGCCUCUAGAGUGGUGAUAUACUUGCUGUACACAGAGGGCGAGCUAGACGCCUAGACCGUGCGUCAAACUCAGCUUUUAAACGGUUAAGCGGAGCGUUUUGCACAAAAGUACUUUUUAUAUAAAAGCUUCUUUAAAAAUCAAAUAAAUAUAUUUUAAAAUUUAUAAUAAUUGAUAUUUUAAACUCCCUGCCGACGAAUGAUUCGAGUAAAUUUAUAAUAAUUAAUAUUUUAAACUCCCUGCCGGCGAAUGAUUUGAGUUGUUUCGCAUGGCGCUAAAACUCCCAGCUGAAACUUAGCCGACGUACGAACAUGUUGGGGAAUAUAUAACACAAAAUAAACCCAAAUAAGCCAAUGGGGAAUACGACUUGUUCGGUUAUUCUCAACUCUGAAGAAAGACAAACCAAAAACACAUUGCUCAAAUAUGUUGGGUUAUUUAAUAGCCACAAAGUUGCUCGAGUUUAUUUCACUUAACGAAAUUGUUACAGGCAGUAUAUUAGUGCGUAAUGAUCCGACAAGGUCCUAAAAUAGGCAAAUAAUCGAAUAAGCUAAGUGGUAAUACUGCUACUAUUGUGCAGUACAACAAAUGCAACCGAUGGAAAAUUCACCUACCAACGAAAAGCCAAAUGCACGGGAAAACAAUACUGGAUCUAUCCAUAUGACUAUGACAGUAAGUUACGACCAUAAGCAACAAAAGACUGCAAGCAGAAAAACAAACGAGAACAAUCUUAUAAAAGAAAAUGAAAGAACACCGGUGCUAAAAAUAAAAGUAAAAGUUUUGCAGAUAAAUAACAUUGCAUAAAAUCCAUAAAAAAAAUAUUCAUGAAAUAAUAACAGCAACUCUUCAAAAACGACGUGACUGGUUGACAAAGAAAUUGGAUUAAAUAAAGUAACAAAACCUACACCAAAAUCAGAAUAUAAGAUCAAAUUCGUCAGGUGAAUUCGGAAAAGCGGCAUGCUGUAUCCAACCGAUGAGCAAUAAAUAUCUGCCCGUAUGCCAUCUUAUGACAUUGCAUACUGCAAGCAAAAAUUGUGCUCAGAUUACUCCUGGACACUUAUCAAAUUUGCUUUGUGCAAACAAUGGAGCAUUAUCUAAAACAUGAAAUGUGAGUAAAUUCGCAACUCAAAUAUAACGAUUUGCUCCAUGCUGGAACCGCAAAAUAAGAGGGCAAGAUGAAGUGUUCUCUCAACAGUACAAAACAUUUGCUUAUGGGCGUUCCGUCUGGUCUCAACAACAGUGCACCCUAAGCAAGCAUCAGAGAAAUACAUACAUAUUUUCAUUACUUGAUCAGAACCAAGUCAUGAAGGGAGUAACACAAACCUCAAGCCAAGAAUCAGUAACUUUAAACAGGUACUCUGAUACUAUUCACAACAUCAAAGAGGUUACCAACUUGGUUGUUGUUGAGGUGUGGAUUAAAUCACCCUGAGGAACAUAAAAAGCUUGUGCACAUGGUGCUAAUCUGCCAAUAAUCCAGAUUUAAAUUAACAAAGCGGUUCAUUUUAAAUUAAGGUGCACACUGAAAACAAAAUGAACAUGUUACCAUUCUAAAAGCAAACCUCAUAGCACCAGUAACACUUCCUCAAUCGUCAUUGCAAGACAUGAUUACUAAUUCACCUUAUCUAAAGCUUUUCCAUAAUCUUCAGUACACAUCCAAUACCAGGUUUCAAUACAAUAAUCAUCUACGGAGUACUAACUAGCCCAAUUUGCACAAUUAAUUCAUGUAGUAUAUAAAUACAAUAAAUAAUUUAACUAUGUAUUUUUCGGUUAUAUUUUUUAAAAACAAAUUGCUCCUAGUAAAUUCAUCUGACAGAUACUACAACAGCAGAUUAUGAGAAAUAUAUUGUCACUAAUUGAGAUUAAUGUUAAUAACAACUGGGAGCACAAGAUAACAUAAAUAUUUCCUUCUCAGUAUUAUGGUUGUACAGACUUAUAAAAGCAAACAUUACCAGAUAACUAGCAGCUAAGCCUGAAUACAGCUGCAUCAAGCAAACAGCUCAGGAAUCCUCAAUUACUCAGGUCAACUGCCACGUAAACAUACAGAACAUUAAAUAGGAGUCAUAUAAGCACACUUCCAGAACAUGAUAUAAGCAAAAGAAAAGUUUUUAAAAGAUGUAAAUGCAUAGCAAGAGAUUCCUCAGCCUAGUGGUUGAUGGCUUUCUUUGCUCUAAGAGAUUCCAGAGCCUUCUCGCGAAGCUCAAUUUCAAGUUUCUGCUGAUCCGAUUCGUCUCUUCCAUUAUAUGAACCUUUCUUCCUAGCAUCAGCAUCUGAGUCAGAUUCACGAUCCUUCUCAAGAUCUGAAGCCAUAUCAACAGUUUCAGCAUGCUUCAGUUUUAGUUUGCUGGCCUGACGGUCUGCCUUUCUACGGUGCCGCUCUUCACGUCUGCGCCGUCUUUCCUCUUUUCGCAACCUCUUCUCUUCCUUUCUCCUCCUCUUGGACUCUUUGUCAUCUGACUCCGAAUUAGAUUCAUCAGAACUGUCAUCAUAACGUCUCUUAUGCUUACGGCUCUUUUUAUGCUUUCGCUUCUCAGAAUGGGAUCUAUGUUUCCCUGAUUCUUCUGAACCUGAACUGCCAGAAUCAAUGUUGUUAUUACCGUGUGCUUUUCUCUUAUCUUUUCGAAAAGGACUUCCAUCUUCUGACUCAGAAUCAUCAUCGAUUUUAGCAGGAUACUUCUUAGAAGCCAUACCGUCACGUAAACCCUUUAUUGCAUCCUCACUGUUCAUGCCAUCCUUUGAAUAAGAGUUGUGCAUUCCAACUCUACUAGGAGUGUGCUGUUUCUGUUGGGAAUCAUCAGGAGAAUCAACCGUGUGUUUCGUUCUUCUACCAUCACGCUCAUCUUCUGAUGACUCUGACAGUUGAUUGUUCUGUUUCCUCCUUGUCUCCUUGCCACUAGAACAGAAAACAGUGUCAUGCUAGCUGAGGAAAAAGAAAUGGUGCUUCUGACAGUUAUAGCUAGAUGAUACAAAAUGAACAGAGUAGGUAUUGGUAAUUGGUCUAUUAGUUGACAUUACAGUCAUUAGGUUCUCAAUCUGUCCGUAACAAUUGACACCACUACCAUUAUAGUGUGUACUUUGGUAAGUAAAAACAAUCAGCUAAAUGCUUUCCUACCAAGAUUUAAAAUGGCAAUUCCAGUAUGCAUCCAUGGACUUUGUCUAGAAAUAACCAGUACAUGAAUAAGAAAAGAGAAACACACUGAAGUGCUCCAGGCAAAUAGGAAAAGUGCUACCUCAUGAACAGUGCUAAGAAAAAAUGCUCAUACCAAGAAAAAAAAAUGAAAGGGGGUAAAAUUAAAGAAAACUAAGAAGCAAUUUCAUUUGACAACCAAAAUGCAGCAAAGAAGCUUACCUAUGUUGUGAUGGAGAUUUUUCUCCAGGGCUCAAAUCAUCAUGUGCUUUCUUUAGUUCCAGAUCUGCUGAGAAAUCCUUAAUUUUUCUGCGUGAUGAAUUUGCUUUUCGUGCAUUCUCUCUGAACAUAAACAAAAGAACCGUUUAUAUCAACAAUAAGAAACUCAAACAACCCUUUUGAAAGAAGGGAUAGGUAGAAUGGAGACUACCUUGCACGACUGCCCUCCUCUUCUCCACUGCUAUCUGUUCUGACCUGACUGGGCAAGUGCUUAUCAGUGCCCUUCAAAGAACUGCCAAAAAAGAUGGCCAAGCCUUCAGUAUGCACAUUUGAUCACAAAUAUGUGGAGAAGAAAUGAAAGAAAUAAAUAAAUCGAUACGGACGAGUAGAUACCUAUCGCGUGUCGAGUUCCUUUCUGGCUUGUUUGGAGAAUUCAAGGAUUUUGUCAGCUUACGAUGCUCAGAAUCCGAUGAAAGAUGGCCACUCACUUCUGUAUCAUUCCUAUUGUCAUCGUGUGAUCUUUCUUUGUUCCUGAUGUAACAGAAGUAAGAGAACAGCUUUUCUGAAUAAUUGUACUGAAAGACAAACAAAAUAUGCCAUGCACAUUACCUUUGAAGCACAUCUACAUCGUUACUGGAGGGAAUGCCGUUUGUUCCUUUUUCAAUGUCUCUACUCAAGCUCCUGCGAGAAUGGAUUGGGCUCCUAUCGUGUGGACUGGUACUCCUUUUAAACAUCAGCAUAAAUAAUCGAAUCAGAAAAUAAUUACAUGCAGGAAGACUACAAUAGGUGCACAGCAAAUUCAAUUGCUCGGUACCUCCUUCGUUGUGGAGAGGGCCGACGGUUUGCAGAACGACUUCUGGGUGAAAUUGGCGAUCUCCUAGGGCGUUUUGGUGACCUCAACCGCGGAGAGCCUCGAGGAGAGGGGGAUCUUCGUCUUCCUGGAGAUCGUGACCUUGGCCUGCGUCUACCCGGAGAUGGAGACCGUGGCCUACGUCUUCCUGGUGAAGGGGACCGUGGCCUACGUCUUCCUGGUGAAGGGGACCGUGGCCUACGUCGUCCGGGUGAAGGGGACCGUGGCCUACGUCGUCCGGGUGAAGGGGACCGAGGCCUACGUCUUCCUGGAGAUGGAGACCAAUGCCUGUCUAGAGAUGACCUGCGCCGAGGAGAUCUAUGACGUGCAGGAGAUGGUGAUCUUGGUGCACGACCUGGAGACCGGCGAUGGUGUGGAGAUGGUGAUCUCUGACGCACAAAAGGUGGAGAUUUCCUGCGAAUAUGAGAUCUACGAUGAGGUGACGGAGAUCGAUGUCUUGGUACUGAAGGUGAUCUUCUGGAAUACGGUGAUCUCCGCCUCGACAUCGAAGGGGUACUUCUUGGAGAACGCUUUCGUGGAGAAAAAGAACGCCUAGGUGAAACUGAGCGCCUUGAAGAUCGUUGCUGUCUCCCAAAAGAAAUGGAAUUUCUGGAAGGAGAUGGAGAACGCCUCCUAGGAGAAACAGAUCGCCGCCUACCGCGAGGCGACAAGGAGAUGCUCCUGGACCUAAGGCUUUCCCUGAAAUGAGAAGUCCAAUAACAUUGCCAUCACAAAUUUGUUUUGGUGGAAUCAGCUUCUUGCCAUGUACAUGUGUAACUAGAACAACAGUCAAGUGAGGUCAUGGAUGAAUUACAGGCUCUUAAUCCAGUGUUCAGGGUCCAAAAAGUUUAGUCCUACUAAUUUGCUGCUUAAAAAAAGUGAGUGCAAGAAAGAGUGUUGAUUCUUUUUCUAUCAAGGGUUUGUCAGCCUUAGAAUUUCAAUUUUGAUUUUUCAUAAAAAGAUUCAACAAAAAGAAAUGCUAAAAAAAAACAGCUGGUCGUUUAGGGUCAAAAACAAAAUCACCAAAUGAUUUGUGAUCAGGGAACCUUAAAAAAGGCAGACCAAAAUGAAAGAAUUGUGCACAAAAAGUUUCAAAUUAUUGUAACUUCAAGUGUUCCAUAAACAAGAAAAUACUAACUUUAGAAUCAUGUUGAAUCCAGAAAAUCUUUAUGAGCAUAUUCUAAAAUUCAAAUACAACGAAGAACAAACAACGGAUCAAACUUAAUGCAGAAAAUAAUGACAAGCUAAACAUAUGUAUGACUGGUAAAUCUUUAAGAUGGAAAAUAAAGGCACUCCGUAACAGAAAAAGUGGAAUCCAAGAUGUGGUUGUUCUCUGAGAAUUUGAUCUGAUGUCACGGAUUUAAAGGUAGUUCCAGUUUAAGAAGGUAGAACUAACCGGCUCUUUGUUCUUGAGCUAUGCUUAGAAUCCAGUUCUUUUUCCUCCUCAGCAUCAGCACGAUCAGGACCUAAUCUAGAAUUACCGGCAUCCCCGUCCUACAGCAGUUUUGAGGUAAAGAACGAUAUGAACCCAAAUAAUCGGAGAAGCUAUCUGAAUGUCAUCAGAAACACAAGAGGUUACAAGACAACCCGAAAAUUAACAGCAUAACAAAAUUGGUCAGAAUGAAUUAGCUCACCAUCAAUUUUUGUUUCUCUAGUUCUUGCUCCCUUCCAUCUUUCUCCCGUUUCUUCUGGAUCUCCUGAGCAAUUCUACUUUCCUCUGCCUGCGCAUAAGCCCAAGGAAGUUAAUGGGUAAGCAUCCCCUUUAAUGAAAUUAAGCCGCAAUAAAGCACAAAGAUAGUAACAACACCAUGAGGUAUAAAGUGUAUUCCAGUUUCACAGGAUAAACGGAUAAAUCCUAAAGGCUACAAGAAAUUUUGCCGUUUCCAUAAAUCACAUAUAAAAAGUUAUCAAAAACAAAUAGGACCUGUAAGAACAAAAAUAAUAAUAAUAUGCCACAAAUAGGAUCAAUUAUUAUUCCAUAUUCCGUGACAAAGAAAAACAGAAAGGGUAAUUUAAAACUUCUAGCUUGCAUUCUCUCCCUCGAGUUCUUACCAAAAAAAACUUUCAUUGUUUUUGGUAAGUCAUAUGGAUUCAUCAAAAACAGAUGAUCUAAAACAUGCACCCAAAUAUAGCGAUAAUGCAGUAUAUACUUAUGUUAACCUUUUUCUGCUGAAUCUCAGCUUCCUUUGCAUCUAAAAACUGUUGGGGCACCCCACUAGCAUUCUGUUGUGCACUGAGUAGGAGGCUCCACAGCUCCUUCAUGAACUUCACUGUGUUCUUCUCCAUGAAUCCUGUCAGCUGUAUCUGUAUCUUCUUUCCAUCCGCCUCCUGCCAAACAAACAGAAAUUGAAACCAAAACCGUAUUAGCCCCACCUUCUAAUAUCUUGUACAGAAACCCACAAACGUUAAGCACUAAACAAACACAAAACAUAAUUACUGGUUUCUUGAGUUUUGGUUUUGACCAAAAACUAGCCUAGAGCAGACAAAAAAAAAUUCAACAACAUGCAAAAAUGACUGCCGAAAGAAUAUGCUAUCUAACCAUAAUUAACGGUACACACGACGCUGGUAUUGUUUUACAAAUUUGGGAAAAGUAUCCAAUAAUAAUCGAAAUUCCCAACAUUUUACCCAAAAAGACCGUUGUAAGGUUUUCAAUUUAGUUCCUGAACUCCAUGUAUAAUUUCAGUAUAAAUACUGAACUACACCAUGUAUUUGGUUUUCUGUCAUGUUCAGACAUACCCUCAUGUAUGAGGUUUAGCAAUUCAACGAGCCUAUCUUCGUCAAAUUCAAAAGCAGCCUACGUACCACGCGCAUAGUUCAACGAGGGCGUAACAAACCAACCUCCAUUGCUCAAGUCAAAUAAACAAUAUGUUUAAAAGCCUCACCUUCUCUUCGAGGAGGCCGUAGAUGAAGUUGAUGAGCACUUCGUCCUCGAACCCUAGGAGCUCGGUGACACGGGUCGCGAUCCAUGGUUUCAUCACAUCCAUCUUCACCUUAGUCAUGUCCACCUGUAACCAACCCAACAGAGAGAAAAAAAACAAACCUAAAUCAGAGUUUGCGUCGAAACAAACAGCUGGUAGCACAAACGACACGGCAACCAGCAGGUGCGUGAGCAGAUGAAGCACACUGACCAGGUGUUCAAGCUCGGGCGCGAACUUCUGCGUCUUGAGCAGCUUCGCCUGCUUGUUGGAGAAACGGGUGUCCUGAUCGGCCGACGUCCCCUGCGAAAACCCCACGGCGAAUCAGCGCCGCCUCUCACAGAUCCAGCGAGCGAGGGGCUACACGGCGAGGUGCUAGAUCGGUACGGAGGAUCGGAGCUACUUACCCGGAAGAAGCCGCCCGACAUCUUAGCAGGCGAUGCAGCGGCCUCCGCCGCCGCCGCCGCUUUGAGGGGGAAGAGGGGUGGCUAGGGUUUCGGCAAUUCGGCGUGGUGUGGGAAGAGUUGAAGACGACAAGUUGGGGGGGUGUCGCAAUUGGGAAGAAGGGCGCACCGGCCACGGGACGAAGUGAUGUAGCCGCCUUUAGCCCGAUCCAGAACGGUCACUUUUUGACGUGGGCCGAUGCCUCCGGACAAUGGGCUUCUUUCACAAGCGACACCGCCAGCGGGUAGAAUUAUACAACCAGGGCCUAGUUUUAGUUCCAAACUUUUUCUUCAAACUUCCAAUUUUUCCAUCAUAUUAAAUUUUUUCUACACACAUAAACUUCUAACUUUUCCAUCACAUUGUUCCAAUUUCAACCAAACUUCUAAUUUUGGCGUGAACUAAACACACCGCAGGUGAAACGCCGGACGUUACCAUGGGAGUUCACUACGAGAACAAUAACUAAAAAUAAUACUCUCUCCGUUUCAGGUUGUAAGACUUUCUAGCAUUAUCCACAUUCAUAUACUCCCUUCGUUUCACAAUGUAAGUCAUUCCAGCAUCUCUCAUAUUCAUAUUGCUGUAAUGACUUAUAUUGUGAAACGGAGGAAGUAGAUGUUAAUGAAUCUAGACACAUGUUAUAAGACUUUCUAGCAUUGUCCACACUGCUAGAAAGCCUUAUAACCUGAAAUAGAGGGAAUAUGUAAGAUAGUUUAAACAACAUAAGUUUAUAUAAGUUGAUAUGAUUUAAAUUUAAAUAGUCAUAAGUUUUCGAGCCAACUUUCAUUAUCCAUCUUAUUUGAAAUAAUUUUAAAAACAAUAUUUUUGUUGUUAUUAGGCGAUAAAACAUGAAUAUCAUUUUAUAUGUGAUUUGUGUUUUUAUUGUUUUCAAAAAAAAUAAAUAAGACAAACGGUUAAAGUUGAACUUGGAAACUCAUAACUACGAAGAGAGUACUCGAAAAUUCAUGUUGAUUGGCGUGCCAUAUAUUUUAUAGUCCGCAUGUAGCGUUUUUGGCUUAUUUGAAACUUGGUUAGUUUCCAUGAUUUUAUUUGACAUUUAAGAUUUCUAUCAUAGACAUAGUGUACAAAUAUUUUCGUAAGUAUUGACCAUCUGAGUGAGAUUUGGGUGAUGGUCAUACAUUCGUACGACAUCACAAACAAGGUACUCCCUCUGUUUCAGGUUACAAAGACGUUUUGACUUUGGUCAAACUUAAACUAUUUCAAGUUUAACUAAAUUUAUAGAUAAAUAUAGAAAUAUUUAUAAUACUAAAUUAGUUUCAUCAAAUCAAUAUAUGAAUAUAUUUUCAUAAUAAAUUUAUCUCGAGUUGAAAAUGUUACUACUUUUUUCUACAAACUUGGUCAAACUUAAAUCAGUUUGACUUUGACUAAAGUCAAAACGUCUUAUAACCUGAAACGGAGAGAGUAGUAUUUUAUUGAGUAAAUUUCACAGAACUAUAGGUGCUCUGAUCAAAUUAUUAGAAAACUACAAAUUUAACAUGAUGCAUCACAAAACUACAGAUUUAACACUAAAUUCAUCACAAAACUACAGAUUUAAGGUGAAAUGUUACAAAACUACAUAUUUAGUAACAAAGUUAUCACAAAACUACAUGUUUAAUGAUAAUUUAAUCACAAAACUUGAAAAAUUAUAAGUCCAACAUAACAUUAGUGCUCAAAAUUUAAACCCUAAAAUAUGUAGUUUUGUGAUAAUUUUAUUAUUGAAUUUGUAGUUUUGCGAUACUUAGCUUUAAACUUGUAGUUUUGUGAUAAAUUUAUUAUUAAAUCUGUAGUUCUAUGCUACAUCAUUUAAAAUCUGUAGUUUUUUUGAUAAUUUGAUCAAAUUAUCUGUAAGUUUUAUGAAAUUUACUCUAUUUUAUUUUUCAAUUUAUCAGUUUUUAGAACACAUGAAAAAAUGAUUGUGUUAUACUUUCUAUGUUUUUUUACGUGAAACUUUAUUUAGGAGAUUUCCCAUAUUCUAAUAGAAAUAUGUUCUAUAAAUCAUCAUAUAGAAAUUUAAUAUUUGUCUAAACAAAAAAAAAAUCUGAAUAUUUUGUCUUGUCUCUUCACAAUGUUUUACAGCUUCUUCUUUUGAAAAUGGGUAUGUCGUUGAACCGCUUGCUAGUUAAGCCACAUAUGUGAUGUAAAAUUCAUACAUUUAGUACUUCAAACAAUAUAUUUUAUAGCCUCUUAACAAUAUUUUAAUUUUCGGUGUGGCAUGUAUAAUACAUUAAAGUGAGAUUUGUUUUAACAUAAACACUCAGAAACCCUAGUGUUUCUUUUUUUCUUCUAUCCAUAUUAUUUAGUGUGUCUUUUGUUGUAAUACCAUAAUUGAACAAAAACGGUUCUAUCGCUUAACAAACCCGCGAUAAAAUAUGUGGCAAUGUUUGUUUAUAUAUUGUCAAAUAUCAUUAUUUUUCAAUUGUUCAUUAUCUUUUUACUCCUAGUGUUCUUUAUUUUUCAUAUAUUCACUUGUUUCUCCCAUAAUGGUAGUAUUUUUUUUACAAAAAAUAAUUUGUUGCCUUUUUUUUUCUAGCGACACAAAAUGUGCAAAUCCCCGCGUGCAGAACGCGAAGGGUGAGAAUGGCACCGGCGGCCAGGGCUAUCGCCAAGUGGACUGUGCAUGCUUUGGCUUAAUUUAUUUUUGUUUUUUUAGAUAAUGGAUUUUCAUUAAUCCGGCCUCUAUAUUCACGAGGGAUAUACAUAACCAGAAUGAUACAAGAGCGCUUAGACUCAUGCCUCAUUAAAGAGGAGAACACACACAAAAAAAAAGACGAUCUUGACACAUCCCUAUUUCUUGACAUCCUCAAUUGAAACGAUUAUAUUCGAUGAGUGGAGGUCAUGUAGCUUGUGCGUUGUCGCUACAAAACUCCGCUGGUGUCAUCUUCAUCCGCUUCAAGUGAGUUGAUGCCACGUUCCGCUAGUAAGCCCACCUCAUCUGUCAUCAUCCAAUCAGAACUAGCCAACCAGACGCGAGCUAAAGGAUCCGCUUCCACUUCACUGGAUUCCUAUGCCUCCGCCACCUACAGGGCUGCCACCGAUGUCGAAAUCCACCUCUGCCUCUCAAACACCCAGGCCUCCGCCGCCGACGGGAUCUGCCUUCGUCUGAUCCGCCUCCUCCUCACCGAGAUCCUUGCACCGACACUUAGGCUGUUGCUGCCUCUAGGGCAACCUCCGCCACAGCCGAGGAGGCGCUUCUGCCUACGAACCACCUCCGUCGGAUCCGCCUUCUCCAUGCAGAGGGCUGGUUGUCGAUGUCCUCCGCUGCCGCAGUUCUCUGUCGCACCCACCGUCGGCGUCCUCCGCAGCGCCCACCACCUCCCGAAGAAACGCCGCCGCCGACGGCUCACCGCUACCUGCUACGGCACCAAUCUCCCGACCACCUCCGCUACCGCCCGCGCCAGGCGCUAGCCCACUACCGCUGCCCACAGCCCCUACUUUCUCCGGCGUUAGUGCCGCUAGAUCUGGGGGCAAACCACAUACCUGACUCGCCCGUCCAUCGCAAGUCCCGUCGGAGUCCUGCCGUCGCCUUCCUCGCAGUCGCACGUCACACUGGCGGCCUGCUUGGGCGGCAGCAAGGCAACAACGAGGAGAUGAUAAGUCGAGGAGAUGAAGAGUCGGGGGAGACGAGGAGAUGAUAUGAUCUGGUACAUCGGCUUAAUUUAAUUUUGUGAUGUACGGUGAGCUGUUUUGUUUCCUCAAAUGAAUAAUCUAGAUUUAUCUACCAAUAGAGAACUGACACGUGGACCAAUCAUUGCCAACAAACACAGCAAGCAUCAGAAUGAUAGGUAUGUACAUUACCCAAGUUAGCACAUAUUUUACAGUGAUGCCUAAUUACAUGAAACAUGUGAAUGUCUCGGACAAAAUGUGUAACAUGUGAAAUACUACUAUGAUAAUUUAAUGUGCAAGUUUCCUAACCACACACAAAUGGGAUUCAAAAACAAAAUAUUUGCGAUAUUUUGACUUAUCAAUCCGCUCCAUGUUUUCUACCCGAUCAACCUUCUCAUUCAUCAUUGAUGAGCUUGGUGAAGUCCGAAUUAAAAUUCAAGGAUAGGUGAGGGAGUGGAGAGAGGAGUAUGCGGGAAGCAUAGUAAGAACAUACCGGUAGAGAAGGUAGUUAGCAAGGGCGGAGCUGAUAGCAGGGGCAAGUUACCAAAGACGGAAUUGAUACAGCGGAUGGGACAAUGUAGAGGAUCGGUAAAGAUCACAGGAGAAUGAAAAGGGAAGUAACAUGAUCCAACAAGCCUUGUCGGUUUGGGGCCGAUGCCACGGAUGAUGCUAGGUGGAGAGGCGUGGCGGAGAUUGGAUUGGGUGGAGAGAGGAGGUGAUGAUGGUGAGGGGAGGGAUUGAGAAGAAGAGGAGACACAAUAUAUGGUAAAAAUAUAGAGUAAUCUAGACAAUUCCAUGAAUCCAAUGGUCACAAAUUCAUACUUACAUGAUUUUCAAUAGACAUGUCCUACCCUUGAAUAAACAUAUGUACAUUACCACGUAUUUACAGUGGUAUCAUAUUGUUUUUUCUCGCUGGGAUGCAAGAACAUUUAGCUAGCUAGCACACAGUGUCACUCUUCAAAUCAUAACAAAAAAAAUUGUCCUGCGGUGUAUCCAUAAUGGUGGAUACAAAUGCUUUAUGCUUAUAUACCAUGCCAAUAUACCGGGCAGUAGAGCGCCAGACCCAACAGUCUAGUCGUCGUCGUCCCAAUCGGCCGGACGGCGUCGCUCAUCGUCGUACCAGCAAACGCAGCUGAGCCCGAUGAGCACCUCGACGAUGACAUUCUCUGCCUUGUGCCGGUCGGCGAAGUGCAGCGUCUGCACCAUCAGCACGCGCGGCCGCAUGCUGAACCGCUGCGCCCGCUCCAUGCUAUGCUCGUCGUGCCACCGCACCGUGUCGUGCGCCAUAGGCCCCAACCACCGCAGCAUCCUGUCCACCGCGUCCAUCGACGCCGCCGCCGCAGCCUCGUCCACUGGCUGCCCUCUCCAGCUCUCUCUCAGCUUCGCCUUCACGGCCGUGCGGAUGGUCACAGGCAGCAUCUUGUACAGCUCGUCUCUCUUCGAGAGAUCCAUCCCGGCGUCCACCUCGUUGCUGUGGAUCGUUGGCCAAAGUUGCCUGAGCAGCAUCUCGGCGCACACGAUCAUGUUCGCGUAUCGCAGCUCCAUCCCCGAGCCGCCAACCGUGCUCGCCGGGGGCUUGAUGGACUCCGACGCUGAAAAGGCGGUGUCUUUCUGCCGAAAGAUGGGAGCCGAGUGCCGGAUCGCCGCGGCCGGUGACGCCGCCUGCUGUAAGGGGCCAGACGUGCGGCGGAGCGCCCACGCGCGACCUACUGUCAAAAGCGGCAAGCCCGGCACGUACGCACCGAAUGUUAUUGAGAUGCGCGCGAGCACGGCGAGCACCGACUUGGCCAUGAGCUUGGAUACCUUGUGCGCGGCGACACUCCAGAGCGAGCUCUCCAUGAGUCGGCGCACCUUCUGCCGCUGCGAGUUGAGCUCGCGUAUCAGCUUCUCGCCAGGUUCGGGGACCUGCCUCUUGGCCGAUGGCCCCGGCUGCGCCGGGAUCGGCCCGCUAUGCCUCAUCCACUGCUCCAUCCGCCGCUCCGACGCCUCCAGCUCGCUGAGCGCGUCCAUCUCCGCGUACAGCUUCGCCGUCGCAGCCACGUGCCGCUCCAUCUUCCUGAACCGCUUCGCCGCGCCCCUGUAGAACCCAACCGUCGCGUCCAGCCGCGCGAGGCCGUUCCCGCGCUUCGCCUCGGCGUAGACGCGGUCGAAAUCGUGCAGGAACGGCGCGCCCGCGCAGCACCGCGCCCCGAGGCGCGCGGCAGUGCCGGCGGCAUGGUCGAGGUCCGCCACGAACUCGCCGCACGCGAGCCGGAGCAGGAGCGACUGGUCCGUGGACGUGACGCGCGCGACGCCCUCGGCGCGCAGCGCGUCCGCGCGGAGCCUCCUGACCUCCACGUCAGACAGCGAGCGGUGGAGCGACACGAGCCGCGACAUGGCCGCCGCCGCCUCGAACGCCAGGAUCCCGAGACCCGCCUCCUCCCUGGCGCCGCCACCGAACCGCGCGCGCAGGUCGGCGAGCCAUGACCUCGCCCCCGCGGGCAUGCCAAAACCUCACACCCGACACGGCACCACUUUACUUACCAAGCUCAAGAACACAAGGAAAUACUAUCAAAUAACACCCAACGUAACGAGCAGCCGCGCAGCAGAUCAAAUAUCAUCAGUAUGAAAUCGAGACAGGAUUGUUCAUGCGGAUUACGCGUCUAAACAGCGAAGGAGCAGAACCAGCACGCGACCGGACGGUAUCCAAGCAGGAUUAGCCAUUAGGAGAAGAAAUACGUGUGCUCGGCAGCGCGACCCGGAGCGGGUCAAGAGAGGCGAAGUCGUCCACGCAGCCGGCAAAUCACGAGAGGCCAUGUGCACGGUCUACCCGUCCACCGAGCCAGCCGUCCACUUCGAUCUCCCACUGGCCACCACCACCACUAGCUAGACAUGUCAACGUGCCAUGGAAUUCCUCCCAUCCUCUCGACCCAACCGGGCGGGCGCUGCACGGCCGGAGACUUGCCUCGGGGAAGUCUUGCAUCGACGGCGACGCCUGUCGACUGUCGUCUCUUCCCGCUGGGACACGACCGAUCUACGUAGGAUCGCGAGAUGAGAACGCGCGAGCGUAAGGCGCCGCUGCUGCAACGCCGCUCGCUUAGUUUCCACAUGUGUCGACAUGUCGAUCACCUGUCGUGGGUAAUUGCACGAGAGAGAUACUGGACGUCCUUCUCAUUCUCAAUUUCUCACUCGAUUAAUACGUGUGUUUUGAACAGGUAGCAAGACCUCCAAUACCAUCCUUGUUCCCAUCUGAAACAGUAAUUACAUAAAACGGUACGGUGCAUUAACGCGUGAUAAAUUAAGUAUUAGCCAUUUUUAAAAAAAAUGGAUUAAUUUAAUUUUUUUAAACAACUUUCGUAUAGAAACUUUUUUAAAAAAAUGUACCAUUUAGCGGUUUGAAAAAAAGCGUGCGCACGGAAAAUAAAUAAGAGGGGUUGGGAACGCACCCGAGUGCCUGAUCUCCACGGAUGUAAUCUAUGGCUCAUUCAUUGCUCAAUUACGAUCCGUUUGCUGCAAAUGCACACCGCCUGAUUCUGCUCAGCUAUAUCGUAUACACGUAUCCCAAACAAGGUUACACCGUAUACGUAUGAUUAGAAGGUACGUAUAUACGUAAGGCUGUGUGCCUGUGUCCAUCGAUCGCCUCUACAUUGCGAUCAGAUGCCACUACUCUGUAGUAUUAUUGCCACGUACAUAUAGGUACGCGUCGUGUUGUCAUCGAUGGCGCAAUGCACGCCAAUGCGACUAGCUAGGAAUAUAUAAGACGGUGUACUAACCAACCAAUGCUGCUGCCGUGCUGCGUCAUUGCGAAUGGGUGGAGGAGACCAAAGGAGACUCCGCGAUCGAGCAAAUUAAAGCUGCGUCACGUGGAAACCACCCGGGCAUACGCAUGCAAUGAUUAUACACCAUCGAUCGAUCGAUCGAUCACUCGCACAAAAAGAAGUUAAAAGUGCCGCCCACUUUUGACCGCACCACUGUCCAAUGCACGUACCGCGCGCGGCGCGACGCUAGGGCAUGUACCAUAUCUAAACACGACUCCCUAAAUCUAUAACUAAUAUAAAUAUUUAAAUUUUUUCUAUCGUCACAAGUCGGACGAAGGGUGCCUUCGUCCCUCGCGGUGCGCCUUCGUCCGCAGCCCCUGAAUCCCAAUCCCUCUCAGAAUUGGAUACAAGAGAAACAAUUUCCAAAAUCGGCACAACCAAAUCACUCAGCUACAAUAAUCACAAAAUCACAAAAUAAACAUCCAAGAAGAACUACAAUAUACAUCACAAUCACAAAACUACAUCACAAAAUUUCACUCGCCUGCCGCCGGAUCCAACCUUGACCGUCGCCACUGCCGCCCUCAGCCGUCGCCACGAUAUCCAUCCAUGGCCGUCGCCACCGCCACCGGAGGGAGAAGAGAGGCGGCGGAGGAGGGAGCCUCCGCCGCUGGAUCCGCCCGCUGCCGCCGGAUCCGCUCGCGGCUGCCGCCGCCGCCGCCACCGCCGCCGGAGGAAGGCGAGAGGGGGCGGAGGGAGCCGCCGCCGCUGGAUCGACCGGCGCAUUAGGUGGCGGCGGGGAGGAUGGCGAGGCGGCGCAGCUCCGGAGCCUUUCCUCCCGCUGGAUCUGGUGGUGGGAGGGCACCUCUGGGCGGCCGCCGCUCUUCCCACUACUGCCGCGGAGGGGAGGGCGCAGCCAUCGCUGCCGAUGCUGCCUCCUGCCGCCGCUGGGCCGCACCGUCUCCACCUGCCGCCGCCACCCCUCUUGCGCCGCCGCCUGCCGCCUCGGCUACGAGAGAGAGGAGAGCGAGAGAGAAGACCGAGAGGAGGAGGGCGCCGUGCGAGGGGGAGGGGAAGCGGCGCACUGGUGAGGGGAGAGGGGAGGGCGUCGCUGGCUGCGACGGCAGUGGAGAAAACACCGAGAAAGAGGAAAAUGAAGGGAGGAGAGAGAGAGGAUAAGGGAAGUCGGGAAAAACGAGAAGAUGAGGAGAUGGAAGGAUCGAGGCGCCGCUUGCUCCGCUUGCUCGCUCGGGGAUAAGGAUUAGGUCUGGCGGGCCUUAUAUCUUUUUUUUAAAAAAAAUGAGCACUCUGUAUUUGAGAAAAAAACAGCACAAGUAUGCCAUAUAACCGGCACAUAUAGAGAUUUAUAGAGUUGGUUUUUAAUUUUUGUUCGGUUUUAAGUCUAAUGGGCCUUUCUUUUAUAACUUUUUUAUUUCUAUAAGAAAUAUAUUUUUUAAAGGGCUCAUAUCAUAAAAACUAAAUCCUAACGAUCUAAUAUUUUUUAUAUUUUUGAUAAUUUUAGUUUACCCGUUGCAACACACAAGCAUCUAUUUAUUAAAAAAUUUUAAAUAAUAAAAUUUUCUUGACCUGUUCUUGUCCGCUCUUUUUUUAUUAUGUUUUUUUUUUAUUUUUUCCCCUCACCAUCUAAUCUUCUUUCAUUUCUUUUUAAUGUCUACUUAUUAAUAUUUGACCUCAAAUACAAUUUGUAAAUAAAAAACAAUACUCACUCUCACAAAAUUAAUAAGACUGUUUUUUACGAUUUGUUGAACUCCACACAUAGGUAACAAUACACAAGUAUAUUCCCACUAUUGCAAAGUGGGUAUAGUUUAACUGGAUAGGUUUCUUGUGGUGGAACCAGUCAAUCUGGAUUCAAAUCUUUGAUUUGACACGGGUGCUCGAGGCGUUCAUGGUUACUUCGUCAAUCUCAAUACUCGUGUUGUGAGCGCGUUUGCACUUUGUGUUUCUAAAUAUAUAUAUAUAUAUAUAUAUAUAUAUAUAUAUAUAUAUAUAUAUAUAUAUAUAUAUAUUCUCGCAAUUCAAAGUACAUUGAGUACAAAAAUUCCACUCAUGUUCUACAUAAAAAAUAAAUAUUUUUGUUCAUGAUACCAAUUUUCAUCUGUCGCCUUUUCGGCAAAGACAAUCAUAUUAUUCGUCCAUCCAUUUUCUCCCGUGCUACAAAUCAUCCAAACUAAACAUCAUUUCUACAAAUAUAGAGCAGAUUAUUUAUCUAAAAGCAAACAAUUUUUUUGAGUAGAUUAGUUGUCUAAACCAAACAACACUAUUUUCACUAUACACACUACGUAAUCACCCAGUGCAACGCACGAGUAUUUUUGCUAGUAUCAUCUAUAAAUUAUGAGAUGAGGCGAGAAGAGAAAAGAGAGAAUAAGUCACCUCUCAUACAAGCAUCAAUCUCUUUACAAACUUAAGGAAAUAGAAAAAAAAAGGUUGAUUGGAUGAGAGUGGAUAAAAUAAAAUAAUUAUGUUACAUUAGGGCUAGUGUAUUAAAUGCGAUGUGGUGUAUGAGAUGGCCGCUAAUAAAUUAGGUGGUGUUUGGAUCCAGAGACUAAACUUUAGUCCUUGUCACAUCGGAUGUUUGGACACUAAUUUGGAGUAUUAAACAUAUACUAAUAAUAAAAAUAAUUGCAUAAAUGAGAGCUAAUUCGCGAGACGAAUUUUUUAAGCCUAAGUAAUCCAUAAUUAGCAAAUGUUUACUGUAGCAUCACAUAGGCUAAUUAUGAAUUAAUUAGGCUCAAUAGAUUCGUCUCGUGAAUUAGUCCAAGAUUAUAGAAUGGGUUUUUGUAAUUAGUCUAUGUUUAAUACUCCAAAUUAACGUCCCUACAUCCGAUGUGACAGGGUCUAAAAAUUUUAGCCCCAUCCAAAUAGGGUCUUAGUUGAUGAUGUGGAUAAUAUUUUAAAGAGGAACUUGUAAACCAUCGCCGGGAAGACGCCAUCGACGACAUGGAUGACAGAUGGGGAGGGAGCCACCUAGAUUCGCGCCGAUGCAGCUAAGGAUGCUCAUUGACGGUCGAAGAAGAAGAGCAGGCGAUGACGGCUAGGGAGGAAGCCGCCUUGAUCCACAUUGGCGUUAACGGCUAGAGACGAGCGCUGACGGCCGAAGAAGGAGAGGAUGCGGCGGCUGGGGAGGGACCCACAGAUCUGUGCCGACAACGACAGUUAGAGAGGGAGCUGUCUCAAUUCGUGCUAACGAUGGUGCCGGGGACGCGCACCGGCUGCUGAAGUAAAGGAUGUGGCAAAGAGGACAAAGCCGCUCAGAUCCGCACUGACGACGACGGCUAAGAGCAAGGCUAAUAAUACAGCCAGCUGCUGACGGUAUAGAUCUUUAUAGCCUAUCUCUCAGCUCACUCAUAUAGUGAUUAACUCUUCCUAUAAAUAUAUGGUUCACCUGUCUGUCUCACAUAUUUUUAUUUUGGUUCUUGUGUCUAAGGCGGCUGUAAGUUUACAACCCAUUUCUUAUCUCUCUCCUCUCCUCUUUUAUCUACAUCAGCAUUUAGCCUUCUUGCAGCCCUCUAUUAUUCUUGCUCUAAGGCGGAAGCCGCCUCGAUUCGUGCGGACGAUGACGGCCGGGGGGAAGCCUCAAUCCACGCCGAUUACGUUGAUCGUGCCUGGUUUGGAGUCUUUCGUCUGUCGUGCUAGUUUUAGGUCAAGGUCAAUUGCCCGUUUGUAUUGCCAGAGUGGAGCGCUUGGAGACGAGCACACUGCGAGACCGUUGCAACUCGCCAAGGAGUUUUGGUCGCAACGUCGUGUACAAAAAGAGAGUCAAUAUAGUAAGACAAGAUUAGUUUCUUGAUCAUGAUUAGGGCAUGGGGCCCAAACCAUUGGAGGAGAAAAGAAGAUAAAUGGGAGCUAUGUGGGUUUUUCUUUCCCUUUACUUUUUCAUGAGGAAAGCCCUUCGUACAAAACAAAAGCUUGACAAGGGUCCUUCAUAGGGUGUAUUCAAUUCACACCAAAAUUAGAAGUUUAGUUAAAAUUGAAACGAUGUGACGGAAAAGUUGGAAGUCUGUGUGUGUAGAAAAAUUUUGAUGUGAUGGAAAAAUUGAAAGUUUGAAGAAAAAUUUUGCAACUAAACACGGCCUGGUAUAUUGUACGCGCCUACUGAACCUGUGGGCCAAAAGGACUGCUUCAUUGCAUGGGCCUUUAUGGCCAGAUUGACCACGGCGUAAUGAAAUUGGGCAAAGCAGAGCAUAUACAACUGCACGACCACCGUAACGUGGAUGAUGAUAGCCAUCAUGAUGCGACGAUAAUAGUUGUGAGGACCAUAUUAGACGAUAAUGUACUCUUGCUGUGCAUGAUUAUACGCUUGGGUUCAAUAACGAAUGUUGGUGUUAUCUGUAUUUGGCUGUAGCCCUACUUCAUUUGAUAAUCUGUCCGUUCGGCACCAUUAUUAUCGUUUGAUAAGGCGUGAGCGGAGGACCAUUAAGCUCGCUCCUGUAUCAUCAUGUGAUGAUGUCCCUAAUACUCGACGAAAGCGCUGCAAAAAGAAAAAUCCGAUGAAAAAUUAGGCUGCUUUUGAGAGUUGAACAAAGAAAAAAAACAUCAUGUUUUUACGCGCACACUUACCUAACUACUAAAAUAUGUAUUUUUUAAAGUGAAGUUGUGGAUUAGCCUAAAACCAGCUCUACUUUUAUUUUAGUUGAAGGUGAAACGGUUUGGUUGGACUACAAGAGUGAUACAGCUAGAGCUAGAGUUGUGCUAGAUAAACCAUUGGUAAUUUUCACCGACUCAACCAAUAAAAGUUACAGCACCGUGAUUCUGUGAAGGAGCAGUAACCUGCAGUCGUGACCGGAGCAGCAAGAUCGCAGCCGCCGACCGCGAGUGACGGCGAGGGCUUUUUCCCCGUGACCUCACCUGAUGAGCGUGCGGAGCAGAGGCAGCACAGCAGAGACGACGAGUCGGACAUGACACGUUCAGGCUCAUUUCCACCCGUCACGGGCAAAUCGUGGCGCCCACGGAAGGAAAAGGGAAAAAAAAGAAAAGAAAAGAGAAAGGAAACGAGGAAAAAGAAAAAGGCGAAAGGGGAGAAGGCCCCCGUACAUCUCACGCUCAGUCGCUCACUUGCUUACAUAUCUCUCGCUCACUUGCUUGCUUGCUUACGUCUCUCUCGCACACUCCCACUAUUCUCCUGCUCCUCCUCCCUGAUCUUCCCUCUCUCGCUGCCGCUCCUCUUCUCGCCGGCCGCCUCAGCCUGCGGCGAGCUCUUCGUCCAGCCAGUGCACCCGAGGUACGCGCCGUGCUGCACGCGUCGCCCCCCGCGGGGUUUCGUUCGCCGUCGCUCGAUUUUGGUUCUCGCGUACGAUUUCCAUCCCUUUUUCGAGCUGCCGGGCUGAUGAAGGGAUCUGGGGGUGGUGGUGGCUCCUCGCUGCUCUUGGGUUUAUCUUGUGGUUUCCGGCAUUACUCGUGCUUGAUCUGCGUGGCUGGAGCUGGAUUCGGGGAGUGGGAAGGGGAUCUUGGGGUGGAUGGCGUUUGAGCUUAGGCAUUUCUUCCCCUGGCCGAAUCGUUGCGGUUUUUGGAGUCACCAUGGGAAAUUGGGGCGUAAUUAAGCAAGGCUUUUGUGGAUAAAUGAUUUUAAUCUAGUAAUUUUGAGCUAUAUUCCUCUGCAAGUUUUGGAGCUCACUCCUAUGUUUUUUUAAAAAAAGAAAAAUUACCCUGUAUUUUUCCUGGUGAUCUCCUCCUCCGUCCCGUACUGCAAUUAACUAUGCUUGGAUGAUUAGAUCCUUACUGCGUGUAAUUUCUCGUCCAGGAGCUUAGGCCGGAUCCUGGGAUCCGUAGGAGAAACCUUGCUCGGGUUCCGGAGAAUGUGACCGGAGCAACCGCGGCUUCAAAUCAGAAAAGGCUACAGCAGGGGAGCAACAGGGGCGGUGGUGGCGCGCGGCAGCAGCAGCACCAGGCCGGCCAAUGGCGCAGUUGCCAUCAAUGCUGCCGCGCCGGCGGUUGGCUCGGCGCCGGCGGAGGUGGCCAGAUUCCACUCCCAACCACCACAACAGGAUAGGGUAUAUGGCUCUAUAUGCUCUGUGUUCUUUCUCAUGGAAUAACUUAUUAUGCUUUAACUUCAAUCUUUUGUGUUGCUUUUUUGGUACGUGGAUUAGUACGUGCAAUUGCUAGGCCUUGGCGACCUUAGAUGGGCACAGACCUUUUUCGUAGUACUGAGUACGAACUGUACUGGCCUGGUGGUGGUUGCAACUUUGCAAUUGGGGCAUCUGUACCCCCCAAAUAAUUUUUCUACCCCCAAAUAAUUAGGGUUUAGUAUGCAUUAACUACUUGCUUUAUUAUGUGAACAAUUUGUUUAAUUAGCCUUUACUUUAUGUUAGUUGGUGUUGAAUUGCAUGCACUUUGCAAGUUUCCUUCGCUCUGUAAUCUUUGCCUAGACCCCACAACAUUUUCUCUGAAUAGCAUCGUAUGGACCGUUUUGUCAACCUCUUUUUUCACAUAUACUAUAGACAUAGCUCAUGGAUCUUGCCUUAGAUAUGCAUAGAGUUGAAAUUGGGAGUUGGGAGCAAAAUAUCUUUUCUCUUUGGCUGUAUUGGAUGAUACAAGUAUAAACUCACUGUAGCAUUCUAUGUUAUUUGGUCGUUUGAGGACAAAUUGAGGUUCCUGCCAAUUACAUGGUAUGAUGAAAACAUUGUCUAACUUUUGUUAACCACACACUUUUAUGCUUAUUUGUUGUUACAUCAAGUUCACUGUAAGUGUUGUUUCCAUGGUUAAGAAUUAGCUAGUAAUAUUCUUUGUCUAUACAGAUCAUAAAAAGUGGAGAAAAGUUAAAUUGCUUUUGAAAUUAUAGCCUUCACACAGAUUAGCACGCUAUUUCUUAACUCUUAUUCAUUACUGAAGUUGACUUUAGUAUCUUCAUAAAAAUCAAACUGGAUGACUUUUAUUUCUGUUUCUUGCAACAACUAAUAAUUUUAGAUGUUCUAAUACAUGUCUCUCUACAUUUAACAGCAGAGUAGAUGGGCUGGCUGUUUUUCUGCCUUGUCAUGUUUUGGAUCACAGAAGGGUGGAAAACGAAUAGUUCCUGCAGCACGUAUACCUGAUGGCAAUGCGUCAACUAGUCGUGGAAAUGCACACCAAUCUGGUAGCAAUUCCAACCAAAAUGUGGCUCUGAAUUUAUCUCUUCUUGCUCCACCAUCUUCUCCGGCGUCCUUCUCAAAUUCUGCAAUUCCUUCAACUGCCCAGUCACCUAAUCGCUUCUUGUCAAUAUCUGCAAACUCUCCUGGUGGGCCAACAUCUAAUAUGUUCGCUGUUGGGCCGUAUGCUAACGAGCCUCAGCUUGUCUCACCUCCAGUCUUCUCAACUUACACAACUGAGCCUUCCACAGCACCACUGACCCCUCCACCUGAACUAACUCAUGCAACUACUCCCUCCUCUCCAGAUGUUCCAUAUGCUCGGUUUCUUUUUUCAGCUAUGGAUCUUAAAACUGCUGGCAAGGAUCACAACAUGCCGUACUUAUCUACAGCAUAUUCCGGAGGUUCAGGACUCCAGGCAUCUUAUCCGCUUUACCCAGAAAGCCCUUCUAGCAGCCUCAUAUCGCCUGCUUCAGCAACUCCAAGGACUGGUCUUUCAUCACCUAUCCCUGAGCAAGAGGUGCCUACUGCACAUUGGAAGACAUCUAGGUCCGCCUGUGACACACCAUAUUCCAGGGCUUCACCAAUACCUGAGCAAGAGGUCCCUACGGCACAGUGGAAGACGUCUAGGUCUGCCUGUGACACACCAUAUUCCAGGAAUUCACCGUCCAAUAUUUUUGGGCUUGAUUC
Molecule: long non-coding RNA, 53719 nt
Filed under: Oryza sativa (Asian cultivated rice)
Lineage: Eukaryota; Viridiplantae; Streptophyta; Magnoliopsida; Poales; Poaceae
Description: long non-coding RNA (OSAT_LNC000525)
Rfam family: MIR812 microRNA precursor family (bases 39369-39567)
Source: RNAcentral